GCUACAAAGAAUGUCUCUCGAUGUGAGUGAUGUAUAGAGAAGACUGCAACCGUAGUCUCGUUCUAACCUUGGUAAGGAUGAUCCACUGUUCUAUUGGGGAGGCUCACGGAAUCUAGACAACACAAAGGAUGUUCGACGCGCACCUAUAAACCUACCUGUCCUGCUAACGAGAUGUGAUCUGCAAAGGUAACUCGGAAUUGUCACAUUCCUCGCUACUACCACGGUCCAGCUAGUCAGGGGAUAUCUAUGAGUACCCUAGCCUAAACACCACAUUUAUGCUAACAAGUGAUUACUCUAAUACUCAACCGGAAGAGGAUUAAAGUAAACUCAUAAACUAAAGAACAAUAAAACAAGAACUUACUAGUAUUAGAAGUCAAAUUACUGAAGAAUCUUAGAAGCAAGCCUCGGGUUAGGAGAAUUGAUCCCGUAGGUACAACUCGGAGUAGACACCGACAGGCUGGCCUUCCUCCGAUCCACACCUCCACUCUAUCUCUCUCAAUCUAGUAGAAACUAGAAGAUUUAUUUCUACUUUACAUUGGUUGCUAAGCCUAAAAAGAAAUAUUAUUUAGAGAAGAGGUUUUCCUUCGAGGGCACCCCUCAAUCUCUAUGAUAAUUUCUUGUCUCCUCCAGGGGCCAGAGGGGGUCUCCUUAUAUAGUCCUCCCCUUCUAUGCGUUUUUGGGUCGAUAGGCGAGGUGGUACUAUGUUAUUCUGGAUCCAAUAGGUCGGUGGAACGUCGUGUGCGAAGAGAGUCCGGAACGGAGUCCAGAGGGGGGCGGGCGCCCAGGUCCUCAGGGCGGGCGCCCUGGGCCUGGCCCCUUUCGGGCUCCGCUUCCUUCCCGUGGCUUCUGGAGUCUUCUAGAUGGUAGAAAAUUGCGCGGUGGGUUAACAUCUCUAUGUAAUCCCGACAUGUGGGCCUUUCUUCCUUAUUUCCUGAUAACCCCCUGCAGAAAUAGACAAACACCAAAACUCGUGGAAUUCUGUCAGAUAAAACCCUAAGUCUAGAUGUUGAUUUCAUUUGGACCCUUUUCUUUGUUUAUUUGAUAAUUAAAUUUGAUACUUAAGGACCAUCAACAAACUCCCCCAAGCUUACCUCUUGCUCGUCCCUGAGCAAGGAUGAACUCAAGAGUUUCUGCAGUGGUUUCAUUUCUUAGAAGUACACACGCAUUUAAGCAAGAUCUCAUCUCUGAGUUAGAAUAAACAGUUAAGACUUAAAACUUACUUACCUUACCUACACCAUAGGACUUGUAACCGUCACUUCUGUCUUGAGUGGUUAAAAGAUAGAACAGUCUAGCCAAGUGCCAUGUCUCUUAUUCUUGAUCAACUAUAGCUCUGGGGUUUUUGCAGAUUUUCAAAUAAAACUCAGAAAUUCCUUGUAUGAUUCUCUCAGGUCUCUCUUUUGUGGUAUUUUUGGAUCCUUACCAAGGCAGUGAUGGUAUAUGCCUUCUCUCAAGAUAUGUAGUAUUUGUGGUAUGAAGCAUAGUGACAUUGUCUUCUCUCUCACCCUACUCUAAUAAGGCUUUAAUAUCUGGAGCUCAUAGGUGGGAGAUAAAGUAUACAUACUUACAAGACAUUUAUUGCAUAGUCAAACCAUGGAUCCAAAGAAACAAAUCAAUAAGCCAAAUCAAGAUGUGCAUGUGUGGCGAAUGAAUGGUGUAUGGUGAUGAUGGUGAUAACAAUGGUGAAAGUCUAAUUCUACUUUUGCUCUUUUGAGGGGAUACAUACCUUUCUUGCACUUUGAAGCUUUUUGAGGAUAAUGAGAUGCUCUAUAUUUUCUUUUUCUUUCCUCUCAGGUGGGUAUCUUGUACCCCUAAUUCUACUGUCGGACACUUGUCCAUUUUUACCUUUCGUCUCACUUUUUUUCUUUUUCUUCGAGGUUCCGGGCACUUGCCCCUUUUUAUUUCCUCGUAUUCAUUUUUUUUCUCUCUCUCUCUUUUUUUUAGAGCACUCAUCUCCUGAAAUAAUGUAGCAAGUGGUAGUAACCAAAAUAACUGGAGCAUUUAUUUCACAGGGAAUAAUAGGGAUAGGAAAAUGUUUUUGGCUAUUCUCUCCCGGAUUAGGAGUAGAAUACUUUUGGGUGGUUUUGGAGAUGGAAAUGAAUGGAUAGUACUUCCGGAGUAGAAGUAGCAUGUAUGAGUGAACGUGCAAGUGAAUCUUGAUUUAACCACAUGACAAGCUCCUAAGGGUCUACACAGCUUGACCACACUCAAUGCUCAUAAGCAGUAAAAAGUAAAUAUGUGGCUCAAGGUCUAGCAAGCAUGUAUAUAUGGAUGUGGUAGGAAUUUAAACUCUCAUCAUAGAGGAACUCAUCAUGCAACAUUUUAAAGAUUUUCAAAGAUAAAAUUCUCCAGAAUUCUAGCAUCUCUAGGAACAGAUAAACAGCAGCUCAACCUUCCCAUAUCGUAUCCGUUAACAACUUGGACUUCAGAUCAAGUUUUCAUCCCACAAGUUUAGGUCUAGAGCAAGCUUUAAAUUAUAACAGUUAUGUCUAAACUUGAGAGAGAACUUAAAAUGUGCAAAUUAGGCAGAGCAACUAUUCAUCAUAUCCAUGCUUAAGUUUUAUUUAGAUACAGAUUAGCAUAGCCACUUUAUUUAUUUAUUAAACACACUAAGCAAAAGACAAAUAAGCAUGAAAUCUUUAUUUGGUUUUUCAUAGUUUAUGUAUUUUAAUAUUCUAAUAUAAUAUAAGUAUAAAGAUAGAUAGAUAGAAAUACUUAUCGAGAUAAAUGGGGGUGCUCUCCCCCAAGCUGAAUUUUGACGUAAUUUCUCUUGAUGUAGCUAGCAGGUGGCAGAGGUGUUUUUGAAAGUCAGCAGCAUUCUGACAGCGAUUAGAAUGUCCUCCGUCUGCUAGUCUUCUUGAUUCUUAAAUGCUGUGGAGCUCAAAUAGACAACAAAGCUUGUGGAACUGAUUAUGUGUUAGCAUAAAUAUCUAGCCUUUAUCAUCUUGAGACUCCUUAAUAAUUAUUACUCCCUGUUUUUUAUAUUUUCAUUUUAUAAAGCAGAAAAAUAUUUAUUUUAUUUUUAUGCCACCACAGUGAAUGUACUUAUGGGUUUUAUGCCACUCGUAUACUCACAUGGGGCUUACUGUUUUUCACAUUUUUAUUUUCUUUUAUAUUUAAGAUAGUAUGAAUAUGAUUAACUAAGUAAACUAUUUAAAAUAAUUGAAAGGGAAAGGAUAACUACCAAGUUUACCUCUUGGCAAGGCGUUCGGUAUUUUUAAGUCCUCCGAACGGGACUCUCCGUUUUCUUAGUCGUCCUGGGAUUUGCUGGGUGGCGUAGUCGGUGGUUCCGGCCGCGCCUCCUCUUCGUGUAUAACUAUCUUCUCUUUCCACACCUGACUCGGUGCUACGGUCUCCUCAGGACAGUUCUGUUCAAGUUGUAUGUCUUCAGUCCUUAUCACUUCUCCUUCGUAGUCUACCCAUCCAUCCUUGAUGAUCUGCCUCCUCUGGUUGCGGUUGCGUUGUCUUCUUCUUGUCCUGACCUGCUUAGAAUCUUCAACUAUAUAGUUGGAAUCAUUAAAGUAGUGGCGUACCUUCUCAGAGAGGAAGUGCAUGUGGACUUCUCCGGUUCCAAUAUAGAUGAUGGCUUUGAUAGUGUUGAGGAACGGUCUUCCAAGGAUGGUGGGUGGAUCAUACUCGUCUUCUCCCAUGUCAAUGACCUGAAAAUUGUUUGAAGCUGAAUGUAUCUUGGUUGUAGGGGCAUGGUUCCAUGCAGGAGCUGAUAAAUGACUGCGGCCAUUAUGUUGUCGUCAGAUCCGGUGUCGUAGAGUGUCUUCUAAAAAGAGUAUCCAUUGUUUGUGCAUUCGAUUCUUGGAACACCAGGGUCGUCCUUCUUGAUCAAGAAAGGUGACUUGAGUCAACGAUCUUGACCUCCUCGAGCUGUAGUGACCAUCUUAGCUGACUCGGUCCACAUUUGCUUGUUCCUGUUCCUCCUGUUGGUCCUCUUCCUUGGUUCAUGUCGGGAUUGCUCUGAAGUUUGUGUAGUCUUGUUCUUGAAGUAAAAUCUCCUUCUUCCCCUUGAUGUAGAGACUGAUCUUGGCAGCAUUAGCGUAGAUGACACUUCUGGUGUUUAGGAAUGGCCUCCCUAAGAUGAUGGGUGCCCUCUCCUCAGUGCCAAUCUCUAUCAUCACGAAGUUUGCUGGAGUGUACAAGGUACCAACUCGGACACAGAGGUUCUUCAAUAUUUCCUUUGGGGAACUAAGUGUCUGAUCUCCAUUGUGUUUGUGCUCGUAGAUCCCGGUGCUUCAAUUGAUGGAAUGUGGAAGUUGUGAAACGCCUUCACGUUUCUCAAAAUAUGUCCUGCUCAUAGAGACAAGGCAGAGAUCAAGUGCAUGGGCCCUGUUGGUGGAAAACACCAACAGAACCAAAAGUGUAUUUGUUCUUCUCUAACCUUAAGCAUAGUGAGCAAGACAAAGUUGAUGGAUCAUGAGUGUAGCAUUUAAAAUAUUUGUUAGAUCAGAUGGCUCAACCUAAUGGAAAGAUAAUCUAUCUAUAUUUAUGUUUUGUUUAUAUCUUCCAAAGAUUGAAUGUACAAUACUUUAGCUUAUAUGAUUAGGAGUGUGGGAUCACGAAGGUAGUAUUAAGAACAAAGAUUAAAGGACCAAACAUGUUGAAUUAAUUGGGUUGAUUAAUUUGGAGCUACAAAUCAUACAUGUUUGUCUCUUUAUUUUAUGUGAACGCUAGAACCAAGGAGAAGCUUAUAAAAGUGAUAGUCAAAUACCUUAAAAUAUUAGCUUACUUGAAGAGUGACGGUACAAUAUCACCUUGUGGAAGCUUUCCUUUCUUAGCGGUUGUGCAUCGUGUUUGUGGCACCCUAAAUGGAUCAUCUCUUUAUGAGCUAUGUCCUUCUUGUGCAAAUUGUUAAACUUCAUGUGUCUCCUUUAUCUCCAAUGAGUUUGUAUCUCAGGACUUCCCAGGUUGAUAUUAAAAGUUUUCCUGCAGGGGUUAGUCCAACAAAAUAUCCCAUAUCUACUAUAGCAUACUAUCGGCUCAAAAAUCAACCUAGACACCAUGUCUAGUUUGAUUUAGGAGGGCAUUUUAACCUAAGCACGAUGUUUAAUUUAAAAAUCCUUUGGAAGUAAGAUCAUCAUUCCUAAACUAAGCACCAUGCUUGAUUUAAGAGAUAAAUGAAACUACUCCAAACCUAGACAUAUACUAAAGCAAAUAAAGGUAGCAUGAGAGCAUUUAUAGCGAUCUACUCAAGUGGAGGUGAAGUAGUGUAAUUAGCACUUAACAAAUUGAGCAUGUCUCAAAGGUAAGGAUAACCAACGUAGCAACAUGGCAAAAGAUGUUUUUAUGUAAAGUACUCCCCCCAGCUUGAAUUUUGCAAAUUGUUUUAGGACAUUAAGCUUAUCCUUGGGAAACCAUCAAGUUAUGUUGGUGAAGUGGUUUCCCCUCCAACACCUACCUAUAUCAAGAUCAACUCAACGAGAUCUGCAAUAUUUAUUAUAGACAUAUGCAUCGACAACGGCUCUUUUAAAGUUUUUAUAAAUAGAAAAGAAGAGAGGGAUGGAGAUCUCAAAUGUGGUAAGGAUGGAGAGACCAAUUGAUUGGGGAGAUGUUUUAUAUGAGCAAGGACUUGGUAAGAUAUUUAUGAAAUAACUUCCAUGCUCACUGUUGUUUCUCCCAUUCUCAAACUCCAAGGUUGAUUCUUCAUGAAUGCUUAAAAUUCCUCUAGGAUUGUCUCUCAAGUUUGUUUUAUCCAUCCAUUCAAUGGUGAUAGCACAUGGAUUUUUAAUGCCCUCUAGCCAUCGAUGUUGCUCUUCUUGAUCCCCCUUCUUAUGCAGGGGAUGUCUAGAGAAAUUCAUAGGAUUAUCGGGAGGUUUAAGAGAAAGAGCAUAGUAGAAUUUAUUAAGCUCAAGGAUGGGAUGGAUAGCCGAAUCAUGGGAUUGAAAUGUUUGGAAAUCGGCUAUUGAAACUUCCUUUCCUCGUCUGGGAGAUGAUUCCUUCUCUAUUUCUAAGAUUUUUCUAUGAAGACUAGUACAAGAAGGAUGUCCACAAAUGAAGACAUACCUUCCUUUACUAAUAGAUAAAGAAAGAAGGACUCUACCAAAGGUUAUAUGAUUAAGACCAAUGUGAAAAUAUUCAGGAAAAACAUGGUCUUGUAGGGCUAGGUCUAAACCAGAAUUUAUAGAAAGAUUAACAGAUUCCCUAGGUGUAGCUAAAAGUGCAUUAUCUUCUUGAUUAAAAGAUAGGACCUCGGCUAUAGAAAAGGGUUGGUUUUGACCUAUUGCAAUCAACUCCGGACACAGAUCAUAAUUAGGGGCAGGACGUGUUGACUCCCAUGGUCUAUGGCUGGUCUCCAAAGGUGCAAAGAAUUUAAUAAUAAGUAUGGAAUUUAAGUUAUCCAUAAAAAUAAAAAGAUAAAAGAAUAAAAGUAUAAAAGUAUAAUACAAGAUAAUAGCAAGACUCAAAGUUAUCUCAGCAAACCGUCUUUCUCCCCGGCAACAGCGCCAGAAAUGCUUGUUGAUAUUUGGUAACGCAAUUAGAAAAUGAUCCGCAAGCGCAAGGAUAUCGGUGAGCAUUUCACCCGGGAGGUUUUCCAGAGUAUCGUAUUUAUAUUUUUACCACUGGGAGAAAGGGUGCAUCUGACUAACCAAAUCUAUUGCUACUAUCCCUUUAGGCUACAAAGAAUGUCUCUCGAUGUGAGUGAUGUAUAGAGAAGACUGCAACCGUAGUCUCGUUCUAACCUUGGUAAGGAUGAUCUACUGUUCUAUUGGGGAGGCUCACGGAAUCUAGACAACACAAAGGAUGUUUGACCCGCACCUAUAAACCUACCCGUCCUGCUAACGAGAUGUGAUCUGCAAAGGUAACUCGGAAUUCUCACGUUCCUCGCUACUACCACGGUCCAGCUAGUCAGGGGAUAUCUAUGAGUACCCUAGCCUAAACACCACGUUCAUGCUAACAAGUGAUUACUCUAAUACUCAACCGGAAGAGGAUUAAAGUAAACUCAUAAACCAAAGAACAAUAAAACAAGAACUUACUAGUAUUAGAAGUCAAAUUACUGAAGAAUCUUAGAAGCAAGCCUCGGGUUAGGAGACUUGAUCCCGUAGGUACAACUCGGAGUAGACACCGAUAGGCCGGCCUUCCUCCGAUCCACACCUCCACUCUAUCUCUCUCAAUCUAGUAGAAACUAGAAGAUCUAUUUCUACUUUACAUUGGUUGCUAAGCCUAAAAAGAAAUAUUAUUUAGAGAAGAGGUUUUCCUUCGAGGGCACCCCUCAAUCUCUAUGAUAAUUUCUUGUCUCCUCCAGGGGCAGAGGGGGUCUCCUUAUAUAGUCCUCCCCUUCUAUGCAUUUUUGGGUCGAUAGGCGAGGUGGUACUAUGUUAUUCUGGCUCCAAUAGGUUGGUGGAACGUCGUGUGCGAAGAGAGUCCGGAACGGAGUCCAGAGGGGGGCGGGCGCCCAGGUCCUCAGGGCGGGCGCUCUGGGCCUGGCCCCUUUCGAGCUCCGCUUCCUUCCCGUGGCUUCUGGUGUCUUCUAGAUGGUAGAAAAUUGCGCGGUGGGUUAAUAUCUCUAUGUAAUCCCGACAUGUGGGCCUUUCUUCCUUAUUUCCUGAUAACCCCCUGCAGAAAUAGACAAACACCAAAACUCGUGGAAUUCUGUCAGAUAAAACCCUAAGUCUAGAUGUUGAUUUCAUUUGGACCCUUUUCUUUGUUUAUUUGAUAAUUAAAUUUGAUACUUAAGGACCGUCAACAAUCCGCCAAAGCUUCGUUGGACAUCCGGCAAGCCUCGAGAUCCCAGGACGAAACAUCGGGGCCCAUCUCGUCCAUCCUCAACGGCCAAGACUGUUGGCAUUUCUUAAUGUCAUUACUAAGAAUAGGGUUUAAUCCAUCCUCAGCAACGAUGUCAGAAAUGUCGUGAUAACACUUACUAAUGCAAUCACCAAGAUUAGAGUAUAAAUCUAUCCUAAGCAACGGUGCCAGAAAUGCUUGUUAGCGUUUCUUAGCGUCGCUACCUAGAAUAGGGUUCUGCUCUACUCAUGAUAAUGACAUUGGCAGUGUUAUAUGGGCAGAUCCGUAGCAUCACCACCUUGAAUAGGAAGCUAGAUCUACCUUCCCGAUAACGGCGCCUUAUUUCCAUUAGGGUAGUGUUCCAGUUCUUAAUCAUGGUAGUGGCACUAGGAUUGCCAUGUUGGUAUUCCUUAACAAGCCACUAGCUCGGCGCAUGUCUAGCAACAGUGUUAAGUAUAUACCGGGGUGAUAGUUCCUUAGGUUCGGAGUUUAAGUACCGCAAGCGGACGGGAAUUAUCGUGUUGCAUUUAAACCCAGGGAUUUACCGAGUGUCGUAUUUAUAGGUUCGCUCUAAGGAAGGCUUAAUAUGUUAAGGAUUCUAAGAUAAGCAUAGAUCAAAGUAAUUAUGAUAGCAAUAAUGGAAUCAAAAGUCAUAGCCGGUGAUAAACACUUAUAUGUAGAAUAGUGAUCCAUCACAAUCUAGGCAUGGCAUAUGGGCUAAGGAAUAAAAAGAGACUAAAAGAAUGAAUUGAAUCAAAGAAUAAACAAACAACCUAUUGGAGCAGGUGUGGUCCUAGAUACAGAUCAUGUCAUAGAACAAGUAAUUAUACUACUUAGAUCAAGUCCUGUGUUUAGAUGGUUUGGGAGGUUACGCGAGUACUGGUCUGCCAGCAACCUCCGCAACUAUUUAGACUCCUACGCCCUAGCCGAACGUAGGGGAAUGCCAAGGACGGACAGGAUUGUCACCACCUGCCGCCAUCCCCUCAAUCGUGGACUAGGACAAUGCAUUUACCCGGCCUUUACACCCAAGCACCAUGCUUACAUGCAAAGAACCUACUCGGACUCCCCCGGGUCCCCGAUCCUACGGAUCGGCAGGUAAGAAGCCUGAGCCUACUCAAAAGAGCAUGAUAAACCCCCAUCUUCACAUAAAGAUAUUUCUAGGCAAUUAAUUAACAUGAAGCAAUUAGACUAAAGUCCUAAGUGAGAAUAAUACAACAUACACAUAGCACUAGUUCAUAUAAUACACUACUAGCCCUAGGGUAGCAUUAUACUAAAAUAACUAUAUACUAAAAUGUAUGUCAUAUCAUUUCCACUAGAACUAUAUUCUAGUUCAUAUGCUAGCAUCAUAAAACAUGGCCUAUGAUCUAUAUCAUAUACCAUAGCAUAAGAACUAUACUCUAGUUCAUAUGAAGAACUAUAUCGGACAUGAUAAGGCAUGGACUUGGAGUAAAGAUAUUCUUUAUUCAUACCCAAGUUUCUCUCCAAGGAGCCAAGCCCUGCUUGAUAGCUCACCCAACUAUCUCUCUAAAAGCUAAAAGGGAAAAACUAAGAAGAGGUAGUGCCCAAAUGCCUUGAAGGUGGAGUGUUGAUUGUGAAUGUGAUGAGAUGAUUGGAGCCUCCCUCUCCCCCUCCUUAAAUAGGUGGGGAAGGUCGGUUCCCCAGGGUGUAAACUGCAAUUUUCCACGUGGGGACUGCGGGAGGAUAGGCUCAGCACCGCCUCUGCGAAAGGCGGUGCCGAGAUGGGCUGGGCCAGGGUCGGCCGACCCUAGGGGGCGGCCGCCCCCUGGUGGGCCCCGCUGGCGCCGGCCCGAAGCCCGUUGCCUUCCUCUCGGGCCCCUGAGUCCAGAUCCAUCUGCAAAUUGAUGCACUUCUAUAUUGGGCUUUUGGGUACUUGUUUAUUUGCUCAUUUUUUUUGACGUGUCGGAUUGCGCCUUUUUAUUUGCUUUCCACCUGUAUGCCUGUAUAUGAUCUGCAAAACACAACUUGCACUACAUCUGGAACUUGGUAAGCAUUUAAUAAGUAUAUGUGAGUAAAAUACAUGUUUUUCUUCCUUUGCAUGGACUAUGUUGGCGGGGUAAAUCUGUCAUUAAGAACCGCCAACAAACUCCCCCAAGCUUACCCCUUGCUCGUCCUCGAGCAAGAAUCUAAGAUCUUGGUUGUUGAUCAGGAGUUGCUACAAUAUUUUCACUUCUAUCCACUACAUACCUUCAAACAAGAAUCCUCCUUUGAAUUUUGAACAGAUAUGUCAUAGGGCUUAUUGCUCAUACCUUGGGUCCUUAAGCAUUUGGAGGAUGGAUUUGAUCAGAUCGAGCGCUAUGUCCCCAGUUCUUUACUUCACUUUUGUUUCAGAGUUUUUUUGAUUUUCAAAACUUAGCACAUUUAUUUGUCAAAUUAAACAAUGGAUCCAAAGAGAAAGUUAAUCAUACCAUUGAAUUUUUGAAAACUUUUUCUUUUCCAUCAUUCUCUUUUUGUCUAUUAGAGACACAUGCUAUGUGGCUAAUUCUACUGUUGGGCACUUGCCCAUUUUUUUUAUUUUUAUUUUUUUCGAGGUUCCGGACACAUGUCCCUUUUUAUUUCCUCGUGAUCUUUCUUUUUGAGGUUUUGGACACAUGUCCCUUUUUAUUUCCUCGGAUGCUUUUUUUUUCUUUUUCAUAACCAUAUGCCUUCUAACGAACUUUUGAGAUGAUAACAUAAUGAAAUAUUUUUGUUUUCAAUGGUAUGACAACCUCUCAAAGGGUCAACAAAGCUUAAUCUAACUCAAUGUGAUUAUUUUAUUUUUGUAAAAACUCCAGAACUCUAGCGUUGUUUAGAACAGGAAACUAGCAGCUCAGAUCAUCACAAAUAUAUCCAUUAAUUACUUUAGACUUUAGAUAGAGCAUUUUGCAACCCACGAAUUUAAUCAUUUUAUUAAUUUGGAGAAUUCAAGGUUGAAACUAGAUACUGGAAAGAAAUUACGAUAGAGCAACUAUUCAUCAUUUCAACAAGGAAGAAGCAUAUAUCUUACGUCACAUAUAGGAGUGGAAUUAUAUUUUUGUCUUUUUAGCAUUUUUCAUUUUUUAUAUGCAAUAAUUAAAACAUGGAAAUUUCAUAAAGUAAACAUGCUAAUUUAAAAUUAAGGAUGCAUGAAAAUAAAUAUGCAAUGCAGAUAACCUCGAGAUUGGGGGUCCACCCCCAAGCUAGCUUCUGGCCUAUUGAUCGGGGUUGUACCCCAUGUACCGCCAGAAGUCUUGGGACUGUUUCAGCAGCUGAUCUUGGCGAGCUUGCAUUUCUUCUUGCUGCUGGUGGUGCCAGGCCUGUUGUUCCUAUUGCCAUAGCAACCCUUGCUAGUGCCACUCCACGGCCUGCUGGUGGUGCGCAUCGGUGGUUUGGAUGUGUUGUUGGAGAGUAUCCUGGAACUCAUCCGUGCGCACCACCAGUCCCAAAAGCUGAGCUUGGAGGCGCUCCAAGUCGGUUUGGCCUACUGUGGAGGCCGAAGGAUGUUCUUCUGGUGAUUCGGCCCUCCAGCGCGAUUGUUGUUCCCAAACGCUGGAAUCCGCCUCAGCCCACCCCUCAACACCUUGUGUCGGCAUGGGUGUUUCCCACCCCGACUAGUAGAUCGGCUGUGUAUAGGAGGGUGGUGGCUGGAAGCUGGAUCCGCUGAUGUUCCUGCCAGAAACACUACGCCUCCGUGCAGUUUCAGCUGUCUGCAAAUCAAAGGUUAGUCUCCCAAAGUUAUACAAGCGUAGACCUGGGUUAGGUGACCGGAUUACGUUUGUAUACCCUGGGAAAUAAAACACAAGACCGCCCGCAUUAUCUCUUUUCAAAUGGUGACCUUGGAUAAGAUAGGUUUCAUUAAUCAUGGUGUGUGGAAUUUGAAUAUAAUCAAGAUCUUGCCCUUCCAACGCACCAAUGGCCGUGGCCACACGUGUUAUGAGUGAAGUCAAAGAGAUAGGGGUGGUUGUCUUGAUUAUAUCUAACCAAUGCCUUACAAUUUCUUGCACAGGCGUAACUUUUAUUUUCAUUCUAGCCGCGUAAAGUAACCUCAUUUCAUUUACUCGCACAACGCGGGUAUCCUGGCUAGGAAACAUUGUUAUGGAUAGCCAAAGGUGUAGAAACCUUAGAGUGGGGUGUUGGAUGUGGGCAUUUCUAGGAUAGUAUUUUCCAGUGUGAACUUGUCCCGUGAUUUCUUCCCAAAACUUAUCCUUAUUAAACCCUUUUGUCGCAUGCACUAAAUCAAGAGAGCAUAUUUGAUGAAAACCAUGGUAUUUGCUUAAGUCUAUCUAAAAGAUAGCAUAUUCAUUUCGAAAUAAACGAACAAAAAUACCUUCAUAUGUUUCUCUUAAAGUGCAUAGGAAUUGAAUGGUAAGGGUAUAGGAUCCAUACUCAGUUAUGGGGUGAAUGUUGUCCCACCCGGCAGCUUUCCAUAUGGAGAGGAAUUCAGAGUCCAUACCGAUGUCGGAGAGGAGCGAGUCGUCGUAGACCGGCGUAUGGAGGAAGAUCCGGUCCUUGAGCAUGUUGUAGGCUUGAUGUUCUCGAUCACCCACCAAGUCGAAUUGGUGGGCUCCUCCUUCUUCAUGUUGUUCCUCCUCUUCUUCCUCUACCUCUUCCUCUACCUCCUCGAUCUCCGGGGAUUCUUCCUCAGCGGAAGGACUCUAUCGGGGAUCGGCACUUCGAGGAUGACCUCGUGACUCUUUUAAAUGCCCCCGAAACUGUUUUGCCGUACCUUUUCAUGGUGCAAUGCUUGCACCAGUGGAUAGCUAGCUUGGAUAGGUGAUUUUUUUGUGAGGUUUCUGCUGGUGGUUGGUUGGAAAUAGCAAAGAUGUGAAAGUGUUGCUUGGAAAGUGACGAUGGAAGUGAUGAAGUGAAGUGAGAAUGGGUGGAGAGGGCCACACCUGAACCCCUGGUAUUUAUAGUUUGAAAAUGCAGGUGGAUUCGGUGUGAGGGCAACAGCUAGGAGCCUCCCCCAGCUGGCCGUUGGCCAGAGCCAUUAGGGGGGGGUCGGUUGACCCUAGCGGCGGCCGCCCCCUGGUGGGCCCCACAGCUCCCCAGCUUUUGUCUCCAUCUUCCAACGGCUAGUUUUUGAAGUUUUGUGUUGGCAUAUUGAUGCACUUCUAGCUGAAAAAAUGACUUUUGCAAUUUCCAACAUUUAUUUGUAAAAUUUUUAUUUUUGAAAAAUUUAGAAAAAAUAUUUUUCUAUUAUUUUAUUUUAUUUCCUAGCUGAAAAUGAAUUUUAUGAAUAUUUUUCAAAUUUUUAUAUAUAUAUAUAUUUUAAGAUAACUACCGAUUACCUUCGGCGGAGGCUCAAAAAAAUGUUUAUAGUCCUUUUUGAGAAGGACACUCUUCCGUCGUUUGAAUUUCACCCUGCAUGUUUAGUGGGAGAGUUCUCGGGUUGCCCCGGGAGUCUACCCGCAUUCUCAGUAGGAAUUGCAGCGGCGAUCUGAGCUAGUUGUGUUUCUAUCAUUUUAUUAAAGCUCAGUUGGUUUUGUACGGAAGAGGCAAGGUUUUCUAUUUUUCUAUUUAUGUUUUCUAAAACCUUAUCAUUGGACAGCAACUUUUUAGUUAAGUUUUCAUUUAUUUUAGCUUAUCCAAGAACUAGGUCUUUUAAUGAAGGUUGAUUCGAAUUAAAACUCGAAUUACCUUGGAAUGAAGAGCGUGACUGAUUAUUCCAACCAUUACCUUGGUUGGCGCCUCCUUGUUGGUGGAACCCGUUGUUGAUGUAGGCAGCGUCUUCAUGGGUUUCGGGGCAAUCAUUUCCCGAAUGGCCAACUUAUCCACAGACCUCGCACGUCAUGUGCGAGUCUAUGGCCUUCACUGAGUUCGAGGGGUUCUCUUGGUUCUUCUCGGUGAGUUGCUUCAUCAAUAAAUCUAUUUUUGCGGCAAGCAUAUCCGUCUCCUUCACGGUAUGCAUGCCUUUUGUGUUUUGGCAGCUAGGGGUUGAGUCCUGUCCUCCCCCCAGCUCUGGUGUUCUACCAUCUUCUUGAUCAGGGCCUUGGCCCCGGCGGUGGUAAGUGAUAGGAACGCGCCUCCAGCGGCGGCGUAUAGGUGUCCCUUCGACAUGGGCGUGAGCCCAUUGUAGAAGUUUUGGAGCACCAUCCAGUUCUCCAUGUCGUGAUGGGGGCAGCUUAGGAUGUACUCUUGUAGCCGCUCCCAUGCUUCAGGGAUUGUUUUGCUGGCAUUUUGUUGAAAACUGGCAAUCCUUCCCUCAAUGCAUUGGUUUUGCUUAUGGGGAAGAACUUGGCGAGGAAUGCCGCAGAACAUUUUGCCCACGUGGUGACAGCUUCCUUAUCUUGAUAGAACCACCUCUUCGCCUUCCCCACGAGGGAGAAAUGAAAGAGGCGGAGCUGAAUGACAUCAGGAGUGAUGUCCUUGAUGACAAUCGUGUCACAUAGCUCCAGGAAGUGUUGAAGGUGUGCAUUUGCAUCCUCGCUUGACAAGCCACAGAAUGGGCUCGCCUACACCAUGGUGAUCAGGCUGGUGUGUAGCUCGAAGUUCUUGCCGGCCAUGUCAACAACGGGGCUAGUGGUCACGUUGGUGACAGCGGGCACGGAGAACUCGCGGAGUGUCUUCUCGGCGGCUAUGAGUUCGUUCGGGGUUGGUGCAGUACCGGCUGGUUCACUUGUCGGUGGUGUAGCAGAAGACGAAACGGUUCGAGACCGUCUAGUCCUUAGGAGUGCCUCGGGAUCGGAGAUGUAGUUUUCCGGCAAAGAGAAACCAGGCAUACACUAUUCCUCCUGUUUAAUCCACAACAGGGAGAAAAUAGGCAGAGUUAUCCUGCAUAACAAUUGACUCAUUACGCACAUCAGAUUACUUGAUUAUAUUUAUCUAGAAUCAUUUUCAUAUUAGCCUGCCCCGGCAGUGGCACCAGAAAUGCUUGUUGGCAUUUCUUAACGUCAUUACUAAGAAUAGGGUUUAAUCUGUCCUCAGCAACGAUGUCAGAAAUGUCGUGAUAACACUUACUAAUGCAAUCACCAAGAUUAGAGUAUAAAUCUAUCCUAAGCAACGGUGCCAGAAAUGCUUGUUAGCGUUUCUUAGCGUCGCUACCUAGAAUAGGGUUCUGCUCUACUCAUGAUAAUGACAUUUGCAGUGUUAUAUUGGCAGAUCCGUAGCAUCACCACCUUGAAUAGGAAGCUAGAUCUACCUUCCUGAUAACGGCACCUUAUUACCGUUAGGGUAGGGUUCCAGUUCUUAAUCAUGGUAGUGGCACUAGGAUUGCCAUGUUGGUAUUCCUUAACAAGUCACUAGCUCGGCGCAUGUCUAGCAACAGUAUUAAGUAUAUACCGGGGUGAUAGUUCCUUAGGUUUGGAGUUUAAGUACCGCAAGCGGACGGGAAUUAUCGUGUAGCAUUUCAACCCGGGGAUUUACCGAGUGUCGUAUUUAUAGGUUCGCUCUAAGGAAGGCUUAAUAUGUUAAGGAUUCUCAGAUAAGCAUAGAUCAAAGUAGUUAUGAUAGCAAUAAUGGAAUCAAAAGUCAUAGCAGGUGAUAAACAUUUAUAUGUAGAAUAGUGAUCCAUCACAAUCUAGGCAUGGCAUAUGGGCUAAGGAAUAAAAAGAGACUAAAAGAAUGAAUUGAUUCAAAGAAUAAACAAACAACCUAUUGGAGCAGGUGUGGUCCUAGAUACAGAUCAUGUCAUAGAACAAGUAAUUAUAGUACUUAGAUCUAGUCCUGUGUUUAGAUGGUUUGGGAGGUUACACGAGUACUGGUCUGCCAGCAACCUCCGCAACUAUUUAGACUCCUACACCCUAGCCGAACGUGGGGGAAUGCCAAGGACGGACAAGGCUGUCACCACCUGCCACCAUCCCCUCAAUCGUGGACUAGGACAAUGCAUUUACUCGGCCUUUACACCCAAGCACCAUGCUUACAUGCAAAUAACCUACUCGGACUCCCUCGGGUCCCUGACCCUACGGAUCGACAGGUAAGAAGCCCGAGCCCACUCAAAAGAGCAUGAUAAACCCCCAUCUUCACACAAAGCUAUUUCUAGGCAAUUAAUUAACAUGAAGCAAUUAGACUAAAGUCCUAAGUGUGAAUAAUACAACAUACACUUAGCACUAGUUCAUAUAAUACACUACUAGCCCUAGGGUAGCAUUAUACUAUAAGAACUAUAUACUAAAAUGUAUGUCAUAUCAUUUCCACUAGAACUAUAUUCUAGUUCAUAUGCUAGCAUCAUAAAACAUGGCCUAUGAUCUAUAUCAUAUACCAUAGCAUAAGAACUAAACUCUAGUUCAUAUGAAGAACUAUAUCGGACAUGAUAAGGCAUGGACUUGGAGUAAAGAUAUUCUUUAUUCAUACCCAAGUUUCUCUCCAAAGAGCCAAGCCCUCCUUGAUAGCUUACCCAACUCUCUCUCUAAAAGCUAAAAUGGAAAAACUAAGAAGAGGUAGUGCCCAAAUGCCUUGAAGGUGGAGUGUUGAUUGUGAAUGUGAUGAGAUGAUUGGAGCCUCCCUCUCCUCCUCCUUAAAUAGGUGGGGAAGGUCGGUUCCCCAGGUGUAAACUGCAAUUUGCACGUGGGGACUGUGGGAGGAUAGGCUCAGCACCGCCUCUGCGAAAGGCGGUGCCGAGAUGGGCUGGGCCAGGGUCGGCCGACCCUAGGGGGCGGCCGCCCCCUGGUGAGCCCCGCUGGCCCUGGCUCGAAGCCCGUUGCCUUCCUCUCGGGCCCCUGAGUCCAGAUCCACCUGCAAAUUUAUGCACUUCUAUAUUGGGCUUUUGGGUACUUGUUUCUUUGCGCAUUUUUUUUGACGUGUCGGAUUGCGCCUUUUUAUUUGCUUUCCACCUGUAUUCCUGUAUAUGAUCUGCAAAACACAACUUGCACCACAUGUGGAACUUGGUAAGCAUUUAAUAAGUAUAUGUGAGUAAAAUACAUGCUUUUCUUCCUUUGCAUGGACUAUGUUGGCGUGGUAAAUAUGUCAUUAAGAACCACCAAUAGAGACAUCAGCGGGAGAACCCUCCAAUGAUGGAUGGCCGAGAGGACAAGAGCGGCAGUCAGACCUUCCUCGCGCAGCUUCUUCAAGGCACCGAGGAGGGGGUCGAGCCGCGAUUGGUGGGCCUAGACGACGCCGUACUUCUAGUGAUCCGGACGCUCUUAAAUCAGACGCCCGGUGUAGGCAGGGAGGAGGUCGUCGUCAUUCCGUAAGUAAAACCAUUGGGAGUCCCAUCCGACGUGGUUCGACGUCAACCCCACCGGGAUGUACUCGCGCGUCCUCUCCGACAUGCCGGUCUUGACCACCAAGUUGAGGCACCCGGCCCAUAGUGGCUUCCUCACCCCUACGGCACCACCAGGAGCAUUGAAGAGCUCGCCUCGGUACAAAUGGAGCCACAAGUCCCAGUGAGGCAUCCUCCCCAGGUAGCCCUCACACACCGCGGCAAAAUCCGUCGCGGCGGUAAUGGCGUUCGGGGAAAAUGCUGGAGCUCCACCCCGUAGUGGUGGCAGAGCGCCCGCAUGAAGCGACUGGGAGGGGAGCCCAAGCCGUGACGGUGGAAUUUGGCGAAGGAGACCACAUAGCCCCUGGGCGGCCUUGGCUCCCGGUGGUCCGCCGCCGGCGCGGUCCACUCCGGCCGUGACGACGAGGAGCGAGGGCGCAGGAGUCCUUCCUUCUCGAGCUCCAGCAAACGGCGCUCCGUCAUCGACGACGGGCGCCAGUCAUCGGCGACGAUGAGUCUCACAAGCAUUUUUUGGUGGGAGAAGGGCGACUUCGCUACUGCUCGAGGGUGCGCGCGUGUGAGAUGGCAAGGAAGCUGAAGCAAGAAUGGAGGCAAGAGGUGGAAGGAGCGAUGGCAAGAAGGCCACAGGACAUUUAUAGACGGCAUCGCACCAACGGACAGAAACGAUGUAUCUGGUAACUCCUCCCAUAAAUGCGCCGCCUAACGGUCCUUAUCUCUCUCUCACAGACGGGACACUACAAAUUCCAUGCCGGCACAGUGCCGCAAUGGCUCCGCCUGAAAAGACACGCCCAAUGGGCAAAAAGGCGAAGCGCUACGGUAUGUACCCACAAAAAUCUCGAGAGGUCGCAGGCUGACCCACCGAAUGGGUUCGACAGCCGAUCUCGAGUACCAGAGUCAGGGAUGCCCAGCAAAUGGUCCAAAGUCGAGGCCCGCCUCGAGAAUUCGCUGGGGAUGUCCAAGGCAAGGUCGAGACGGUCAAGAGGGAUCCCCCCGAAGGGAGGCAUCGAGCCACUGGACUCUAUCGAACGAGAUCAGUAACCCCGACCACGUCGACCCCGCUUUAUGAGGACGCUGUAACACCCUAGUGUUAUGGUUGCAUUAAUCAUGUGCAUAGCAUAAGCAUCAUUAUCUAAUCAAAGCAUCCAUGAUCAUCUUCUCUCUUGAGCCAUGUCAUUCUAUGCAAAAAUGUGGUUUAAACUGCUUAAAUAGUCUUCCUGUGCUUAUGAUUGAGUGAAUCAUGCUUGUGUUUAUGCUUAAUGCCUUGGUAAUUAGUUUAUCUAUGCUUAACUUGGCCUUGGGAACAAUGUUCAUGUUGGUCACUUCAGCAAAAUAUGCUUUUAAGUCAUACUUAUGUAAAUAGGCCCUAGAAACCUCUUUUGCUUAGGCUUUUAAAAAGUGUUUCAUAAAAUGUUUGCAUGUCAAAUCUUUCUACAUCAAAGUUGUAGAAAAUUUUAUAAGGAACAAAAGUCCUUUUAUGGCCAUCUCAUGAAAAUGAUCACAAAUAGCUCAAAAGUGACCCACAAGGCAGAAUCGGGGCUGUUUUCAACACUUAGAAAAUUUUCUAAGUCCUGGAACGAAACCAGUUUGCUUGAUCGAUUUUGGAAACUCUAUAUCUUUCAAUCCAGGCCGAUUUGGCUUUUGCUCCAAUUGACAAAGUUGUAGAACUCGGUUGGAACUCCAACUUUGUCAAUUGCAUCGUCCUCUAACUCGGGUUGGUUUGGGAGUUCGUCGUUGCUAAAGUCGCUCUGUCAAUCGGUCACCGAUUUCUCUAAAUCGAAGCCGAGCUCGCCGUCGGGGAUGGCAAGAGCGCCACCUGUCCGCCAGAUGUCGUCCGUACGCCGGCGAUGGCCCCGCUCGUCAGCUCCCAGCACGCGCAUGACGUCCACGGCGACGCCCCGAGCGAGUGGACGCGUCCACUUUCGCUCUGCCUCGCCUCUCCCUCGCCUGAAGAGCGCCCGCAGCGAGCUCACCGUCGCGAGCUCACUCCGGCGAGCUCGUGUGCGCUCCUCGCUGCGUCUCUGACCACCAAAUUCCACCCAAAGCUCCGCCGUGAACCGCUCUCCAAUCUCCACCCUCUAACUCGCCGAGAAACCCACCGAUGAGCCGACAUUUCCUUCUUCCCCCAAAUCGGGUCGCUGUGACCAUCUUCUCCGACGAACUCAAUGCCGAGCUCUGUGUAGCCUCUCGUUGUCUCUGGUUAGGUCCUAGAGGUAGCUUAGGUCCUUAGCGAGCUUUUGCGCCACUUGGUGGACGCUCUACCAAGCUCUCCGUCGCCGGACACGGUGCGCAGCGCCGCCGUGCUUCCGCCGGAGAUGGGUGCUCUCGUGGCCAGCGUGUUCCACGAGGAUCCAGGUCAAGCUGUGUACCUAGGAAGCUUCGCCAUAGUCCGCUGGUGCUGUAGAAGGCCUUAGCUCGCGCUCUACCGGCCUGAGGGCUCCGGCGUAACGCCGAGCACCUCCGCCGAGCCGCCAUCGUCGACGGUAAGCACCUUCCGGUGGCUCCGCCGUGGGGAACAGGGGGUCAAUCGAGUCGCUAGGGUUUGGGGAUCACGCUGAUGCCCUUGGUUUGGCCGGAGACCUCGCCGUCGUGGAGAAAUCGCCGGCGAAAGUCGCCUCGGCCGCGAGGAAGAAAGACCUGACAGAGGGGGUCCACUGUUAGUGUCACCUCUUUCCCUCCUUUUCUUUUAUUCAAAAUCUGGAUUUUUGGCUUUCUUGCAAAAAUCAUAUCUCCUGUUUCUGACAUCCAAAAAUUGUGAAACAAAUUUUGUGGUGUUUCUUGAGAUGGCUAGUAUUUAAUAAAAAUAUAAAAUGAACCAUGUUUUCUGAGAAAUUAUUUAUUAAGGAUUUAAUCUUGUUAUUCAUGGAUAAAUGCAUAUCUCUUGUUAUACUGCUUAGUUUACUCUGAAAAUUUUAUGGUAGUCUCUAUAUGGUAUGAGAGUGCUUUGGUAAAUAUUUCAUUAUUUCUGGAGCACUGCAGCUUUGUUAUGUAAAUUAUGAUUGAAAUGUGGCUUGUUUCCUUGAUUAAAUUAUAUAAAUUAAUUGGUGCUUAUGCUGGUGCUCUACUUUGGUAGUAAACUUGUUUAUGGUAUUCCUAUGUUGUAAAUAAUCUGAAAUCUGUUGUUUGGCAUCAUAUAUGUCAUGUUUUGGAAUUUAUGAAAUAAGCACCUUGGCCCAUGUUAAAUACAUAUCUUUAAUUUGGUAUGUGCAAUGGCUCUGAAAUUUUUAUGGUGAUGAUCUGAUGUUAUAUUUGUGCUUCUGUAAUUUUUAUAGAUUUUUCUGAGCACUUUAACUAGUACUUUGUAAUUAUGCUCCUAUCUAGAAAUAAUUGAUAAAUGCCUUGUUAAGUAAAUGUUUGGGAGUUUCCAUCUGAUGUUCUGGUAACCUUGUAAUAUGUUUGUGCUCAUAGGCCAUGUGGUUGGCAUGGUUUGUGUUUUGAUCAUGUUAUUAAAUAAUUAACUUUAGGGUUAAAUGCUGUUCUGGACAGCAAGGGAGCAAUUUAACUGUUACUUAAUGAUAACUUGACUUUCUGUGAAACUUGUCUAAAUCAAAGUUGUUCUGAACUUGUUGAACUAGCUGUGGUUUAAAUUUGAGGUCAUUUGGCAAAGUAGUUUAAAAGUUAUGGCUGUUCCAAGUUGGGUUCCAGAAAUAGGGGUUCUCUGUUUUUCUGGGACAGAACCUGGAACUUUGUUUAAAAUGACUAGUUUAAUGUUUGAAUCUUGCUGUGAUGUUUAAAGAUGAUUUGUAGACAAUUUCAUAAGCUUUCCAGAAUGUCUUUACUUAUGUUUGUUGGAUCUGUCUAUCAUUAGUUAUGAUUUAUUUACUGAGCUACUCCUGUUUUAUAUUGCUUGCUGUUUUAGUAUCAUGAUAGGCUGUGGGUUAAGUAACUUGUUUACUUGUGUGAGCUUAUUAUAACUUUUGCUCUGUAAAUGAGUGUCCAGUGAGUUACUUGUGUUAUCACGCAUUCAUCUUUAGCAUGUGCAUCUUCUUACUGUUCGAGCAUGCAAUAGGUGCAUCGGACGCGACAGCCUCCUACGAGCUUCAGGCGAAUCCCGAAGGUCAGGAGGGCAGUCAGGAGGUGGAGGUCCAGCAAGCCGGACUCGAGGAGCCCGAAGAAAAAGUUGAGUGCCCGAAUCACGAGCCGGCAUCGUUCGUGAAAGGCAAGCCCCGGAGCAUUCUAAGACUCCCGUUAUUUUCGAAAGUUUACUUAAUAUGUUAUACCUAUUGAUGCAUUACGUAUAGGAGUUGUGAUGAAACUGCUGCUGCAUUCUUCUCUAUCCUUGUCCAGAUAACUCACCACACCCUGGUCGUAGAGUUAGGAUCGAGUAGAAGCUUAGCCAUGCUUUAAUCGGUAGAAGUCGGGUGAUGUCCUGUCACCUGCGCGAUAUAGGGUUAUGUCGUAUCACGAUAGUCUAUAUGUGCUAUCGUGGAUGGAACCUGAUUAAAUUGACUUAAGCCGGGCGGAGUUUUGCAAGUUUGUAGUAACUCCGUCUGUGGCAGCUAAGGACCGAUCGUUGUACGUCCUCUUGUCAUGUUGAACGCAUGCCUAACACUUAGUUGGCCGGAUAACUCGUUCCGACCGCGAAGCCGAGUAGUAUGACUCAGACCGGAAGACCGGCAAGUAUAAAGUGCGCACUACCGGAGGAAGUGCGGUGUGCGGGGGACCAUUGGCGUAAGUCCAAAGGCAGGUGAGUUAAAAUUCGUGACCUCCCUGGCAGAGUGGUAGCCCUAGGAGUGCGGCGCUGAUCGGAGCCGCGAUUCCUGAGUUGUACCAAAGGUGACCCGUUGGCUCUCCGGCAGGGGAUGCUUGGGUGAGUGCUAGGAAUAACCCUCCAGCUGGAUAGGAAUUCAAUUCAAAUCGCCGUCUCUCCCGGUUAGUGAGAACUUGACAGAGCAGCGGCAAACGUAGCAAUCACUAAUGAAGUUGGUUCAUGAUAAUGAUGAUAGCAAGAAGAACAUAUGAUGAAUUUGAUAUGGUUAUUAUUGAUUGUAAUAAUCAAGUGAGGUGCUGUAGUACAGGUGCUAAUCUAGUGGUAGGCUGAUGAUAAACAAAUAUGAUGCUCUCGAAAUAAUUCAAUUGCAAUUUAAGCUCUUGGCAAAAGGUGAGUCAACCAGCUCCACUUGAUGCUUAGCCUUGCAUGAUCCUUGGUGUCUUUUAUGUUUUACUAGACGGGUAAGUCUAGCUGAGUACAUUCUCGUACUCAGGGUUUAUUCCCACCUGUUGCAGAUGACAUCUUCUAUGACGGAUUCUGCAAGACCUGUCUCCAUCCCGCUGGGGAUGAGGACUAACCAUUGGGCACGGUUCUCUAACCAUCUUGUCUCUGAUGCUUUUGGAAGGAUGGCAUAGACUCUGGCAGUAACAAAAACUUGUGAACUGAACUUUGAACAAGUGUGUGUAACUAUUUUGCUUCCGCUACUUCGAACUUGGGUUGUAAUAACUUAAUGACUCCGAUGUGGUACCGCUUCGCCGGCAAUGAAUGACUAUGUAACAUCCGCUGUGUUUAUGUUGAACCAUUACGAUCUUGGUUUGUUGCGAGUUGGUUUGAAGUCCUUCGUGAUUUCGAUUGACUACCGGGAUUAUAAGGGCUCAAGUUUAGAAACUUGAUUGCUUGGCGAUCGUUUCUGCACUUGAACUCUUAUAAUUUGGUCGGUUCUGUGACAGACGCCUCUGGGCUACAGCCGACCCCCUCGAACGGGGCACGGGUUCUCACUUGGAUUACCCGCUAGGAGCUCAAUCUGGGGUGGAUGAUGCUUGCUCCACCGGGACUACGUCGAGACCCUGCGUAAAACGAACCAAUCAGAGCCUUCCACAAUGGAUAUCGAGAGCGUUUCCGCAAAUUAGGCAAUAUAACCCUCGAAGGAGUCAAAAACUCUUCCAAGGGCUCCGGGGCUACCCCCAUGGAAACUCGACCACCAAAAAGAGCCUCCACUCGAGCGCAAGCGCUCGAAUAGAGACUCGGGGGCUACUGUCGAGGAUAUCAGUAAGGGGUACCCAAACUGAUGUGCAUAUCGAGAGUAUCCGUACACAAGUCGAGGCAUCCAACUCGACGCCUAGUUGCGUGCGUGGUCCUCGACGACCAUAGUCUCGAACACGGAAAGAACGUCCUGCGAAUCUGUAACACCCUAGUUGUUAAGCAUACACUUAGUCUUACCAAAGCAAUGCAUAAGCAUUCUCAUCAAGCAUAGCAUCAUGAGCAUGUCAUUCAUCCCAAAAUAUGAUUUUAUGUGUUUUAUUCCAUGUGCUUUAAAUAUGUUCAAAAUAUGAUGCUUGCUUCUAAAAAUGUGAAAUAUUCAAACUAGGUUGAAUUGUGUGCAAGAAGAUUUAAGAAUAUUUUUUGUGCAAUUUUUGGAGUCAUAGAAUUUGAGAAAUGGAAUUUAUACAAAAUCCCCAAAAUGAGUUUAUUUGAAAACCUAGAACUAGUUUUAAUUUGUAAUUCAAAUUCUAUUUGGAAUUUGGUCUUGCUUAUUAAAACAAAGUUGUAGGGUUUUUGUUUUGGAACAACUUUGCGUUAGGGAGAAAGAGGUGAAAAUGAUUUUUAAAUUGGUCCAAAUGAAUUUAGAAAAGAAUUUGAGAAAGGAAAUUAAAAAAAAAAUGGAAAAGGGGCAGGCGUUGCUGGGCCAACCCUGCCUCCCUUUCGGCCCAGACAGCGGCUCGGCCUGCCUCCCCCUCCCCCUCUCUCCCGCGCGCAGACGCCCGCCUCGUCCCAGCCAGCGACGGCAACGUGGCGGCCGUACGCCGGCGAUGGGCGCGCCGCGGCCGACCGGCUUCACCUGGUCGGGACGCCGGCCCGAGCUCCCAGGCCGCUCCAUUCGUUCUGUCGCCCGCGCCCCUCCCUCCUCCCUCCGCUCGCGAGCGCAACCGAAGCCGUAGGAGCUCCGCCGCAGCGACAUCGCCGGAGCAGCUCCGCUGCUCACCGCCGGCCACGCCAGUGCCCCAACCUCGACGCCGAAACCACCAGAGCACUCGCCGUCGCCGCGGUAAGCUCCUGCGAACGUUUUACCGAAGUGAGAGCCCGUCGAGCGCCGUGAAUCGCUCGUCGGAGUUGCUCCGACCUCGCCGGAGAGCUCCGCCGCGUCGAAUCUCGUUCGUUUUCGCCUCGUUUCGCUUGCUUUUUGGCGCGUUAGAUCCGUAGUUCGACGAGGAAGCUCGGAGGAGCCCUUGCGCGUGUUCUACCGCACCGGAGCAGCCUGGCCACGGUGAGCAGCGCCGCCGUGCCGCCAUGCAUGCUCGUCGGAGGUGCUCCGGCCAUCCUCCGGCCAAUCCGAGGGUACCGCUGGGUGCGCCUCGCUGCGGGGAGCACGAUGGUGCUCACCCAGUGGCCGGGAACCUCACCGCCGACGAGAUCUGCUCGUCGGAGGUGCCCUCCCUCUCGGUAUCGCUGACCAGUGGGGUCAGAGGCCCACUGUGAGUCGCAGGGGGACCGCGUUGGGUGUACAUCUGGGUGCCUUUAGCGUUUUUGAUCCCGAUUUCGAUUUGAUUUUCAGAAAAUGUUUUCCAGAAAUUGAUUUAAAACUUGUAAAAUCCAUAUCUUGAGUUCUACAGCUCCAAAUCUGAUGAAAUAAAUUUUGGUGUGCUCUCUAUUUUCAGAUCUACAGUUUGAUGUAAUUGCAUGUCAUGUUUGAACACUUUUUCUGGACAGGAACAAUUAAUCCAUGCUUUUGCUAAACUUAUAAAAUGCAUAGUAAUUAAAAUAUGGCUCAGAAAAAUGUGAACUUGAUUUGUUGGCUCUGCAUGUAUGUUAACUCACUGGAAAAAUAUUGCUACACAUUAUUUGGUGUAUAAAUGAAUUUAUAGUGAUUUAAAUGCUUGCAUGGUAGUGGUUUAUGAUUUUUAAUAAAAAUUUGGAUCAUGCAAUUAAUCUGGAAAUAUUUGUGGAUGUUUCUUAUGAUAUUAGACAAAUUGUAAAAAUAUGAAAUCUGCUGUUUGACACUUAUACCACAGUAGAGUAAUUGUACUUGCCUUUAUGUAAUAAUCUUGUGAUUUUUGUAGCUCAAAAUAAGUAUCCAAAAAUUAUGAAAAAUUUAUAGUAGACUUUAUGCUUGACUGGUAGUUUCCUGUAAUUUUUGUGGAAUCUAUAGAUGAACAGAACUGCAUGCAAAUUUUUAUGGGCCUAGAAAUGAAUAAAGAAAAUUAUGAAUUGUUAUAUAUGGGUUAAAUAGAAUAAAAAGGGGUUUGGUGUAUCUUUGAAGCAUCAUGUGGAUUGCUGGUUACACUUGAAAACAAUUUGUAGAAGAGAAUGCAAUAGAUGUUUAAUUCAAUUGUCUGUUCUUGGAUGAUGUUGACUACCUUGUAAUGAGCGUGACCAAGUGAAUCACCUAUGCAUCAUGUCAUGAUCAUUUGGUACCUUCUCAUACAAGCAUCCACUCGGGCAUCUUGCACUCCACUCAUGAGCACACAUGCAUCAUACAGGCAAGCAGGAGAAUGAGGUGGGACCUGAGGAGCCAGAGGAGAUUAAGGAGCAGGAACCUCCGGAAGCACCAGAACCCGGAGAGGAGCUACAGGAGUGUCCGGAUCACCGGCCCAGCACGUUUGAGAAAGGCAAGCCCCGGAGCAUUCUAAGUCUCCCUAUUCUCGCUAACUUACAUGAUAUACUAUGCUUGUUCCACUAUACUACAUUUAAGUGAUAGGAAUUGCUUGAUACUGUUGAUGCAUAUGUACUCCUUGUUAUCCCUACUCAUUUAUCUACCUUGUCCUAUGUAGAUAGGCACGGAGUCUAUGCUUAGCUUGCUUAGUCCGGUAGAAGUCGGGUGAUUCCCUGUCACCUGUGAGAUAUAGGUGGAUACCUGCUUGAUUAAGCAGUGGUUGCUUUGGGAAAAGAAUAACCAAGUGUGGAAUGGAAUUGGAGACCGGGCAGGGUCUUAUGGUGGGUUGACCAUAGUGCCCCAGCCUGUGUCGAUUAAGGACCGAUCAUUGACGGCCCUCUUGUCAUGUUGAACGCAUGCCCCACAUUUAGCUGGAAGGAUAAGUCGUUCCGACCGCGAAGCCUGAGCACUAUCCGGGCCGGGAAUCGGCCCGAUGUACGCGCUGUAUUGGUGAUGGUUGAGGAGAACGACGAGGGCGCGGCGCGCAACCUUGGUAUACCUUGGAUACCUCGAUCGCCGGAACGGUCCUCGGGUACGGGCGGUGCCUGUCGAACCCGCGAAUUGGUCCUGUAGCUCACUUGAUCAGUGAGUGUGGUUUGUGUGGGGAAUAAAGUCGCCAGCUGGUUAGAAAUCGAUUCGAAUCGCCAUCGCUCCUGGAUAGUGAGCACUUGACAUGAGCUUCGUCCUCGUAGUAAGGACUAUGGAACACUUGGGUUAUAUUGAUAAAUGGUUUUGAGAAUGCUAUGAUGAGGUACUAUCAUAUCACUAUACUUGCUUGUAAUAGUGCACGUGCAAACCUAGAUAAUAAGUAAUGAUACUUUCAACUUGAGCAAAUUAAAAGAAGAAAGAUUUAUGUAGAUUAUGAUAAUAGAAUCCUGCGGUUAUGCAAAAUGGUUGUCAGCUACCCCACUAUAUAGCCUUCAUGAUCCUUGAAGAGUCUUUAUUUUAAGUUUAUGACGGGUAAGUCUAGCUGAGUACAUUCUCAUACUCAGGGUUCUACUCCCAAGUUGUUUUGCAGAUGGUCAAAUGUAGUAUGGUUAUUGCAUCCUCUGUCUGUACCCAGCCAUGGGUGAUGACUAGACCAAGGGCGAUGGUCAGUCCGUCUUCUCUUUUGCUUUUGUGGGAAUGACCGAACUAUGGCACUGUAUCAGACUCAGUGUGUGUGUGGUAUUUUCGAACUAUGAAGCUUCCGCUACUUGAAGAACUUGGUUUGUAAUAUUUUUAAGAACUCCGAUGUAUUUUAAGAAUGUUGAAAUCUGGAUGUACUUGUGGAUGGCGACCGCUAAACUUAUUACGAUCUUGGCUGUCUGUACGAUAUGUGGUUUGAAAUCCUUCGAGAUUUCACGGACUACCGGAAUUAUAUGGGCUUAAGCUCGAUGGUUUGACUAUGCAAAUGGUCACUGUUAGGCUUAAUCUCUUAUAAUUUGGUCGGUUCUGUUACAGCUGGCAUCGGAGCAAGGUUUAACGAGUUACUGUUCAUAAGUACGUUCUAAACAAAAUCUAAACUGGUUUAAUAAAAGAUUUUAUUAAUUAAUAAUGAUCAAGGUGUUAAACUAAGUUUUGGAAAACUAUCUAGUGUGCCAUGGUCAUAUCCUUUAUGCCCAGUUAAGGACUCUAAGGUGGCUAGUUAAGUACUGACUUGGGGGUUAAUGCAUCAUAUUUCUAUUUCGUAUGAGUACCAUUCAUUUGAGUGGUAAUGUAUGGAUCCAUUUUUCCUCUACGCCACGGUAAGUGGGAGAUAUGAGAGCAUGAUCGGAUACACUGCCGGUCUAGGGGAGUGUUGUUAGGUGCUGUGUCAUGCACACAUAUUUUGGUGUGCUUGGGGACAGUACCGCAUGUUGGGAAUUCCGUCCUGAGAGGCGAUGCCGUCAUUAGGGCGAUGAUGUGGGUAGUAACACUGUUGACACCGUUUUUGGGCACGUGUCUAGGAUGGCAGGAUAAGGUGGCAGUACGAUGUUUACAAAGCGGGUUGCCGAUGAGGAUGGUUGCCGAUGAGGGAGAAGUUGAAUGUGACAGGCAGUAAUAUGGUGCCGAUGGCUAGAUAAGAAAGUCUGCCGAUGACUAUGGCAAAGGAUCUGCCGAUGAUGCAAAGGAGGAGUCUGGAAGCUGCCGGUCGUUGUGUGGAGGAGUUUCGGUUUGUUACGAGGGAUAGUUUUGUUAUUUCCUUAAUUAUUUGCAUCGUUUUGUAUACGGGUUCCGUGUAAUUUGGAAUUCGAAUUCUAAUCGUGUCUGGUUGUAGCUCUUUGAGCAGGGUAUAAAUAUAGACCCUAGGGCCUUGUAAGAAAAAGCAAUCAGUCAAUCAAACAUACGUUUUUACUCAUAUUCCAGCAUCUACUUUUCGACGACUUCGUCAUACUUUUUUCCUUUUAUUACGAGUUCUUAGGAAUUCGUCGACUUAAGCUCGGCGUGUUCUCGAGUUCCGCCCCUUUGUGUUUGCAGACCAGUUUUGCAUCAACACAUCUUUUGGCACGCCCGGUGGGACCGAUUCAAGAUCAAGAUCAACAUGUCGAUCUCCGACCUCGAUCAAGAGAACGUCAUCCUCGUGACGGAGGCCAACCUCAAGGAUGAGCAGAAGCAAGCUAUUGCCCAAGCCAUGGAAGAGUUCAAGCAGCAAUGCCUGAGGUCUUUCAGCAUAAACAGGAGCGGCGAAGUGCUCCAGAAAGAUGCACUGCCGGCACCACGGCAGGUUACCUUUGACGCCAAUCCUGGCAAGCUUCAAGAUAUGGUUGACAAUGCCAUCAAUCGAGCAUUGAUUAACCAAGCUGGUGUACUGUCUAAUACGGUUUUCAAUGCCGUGGCAAGAACUUUCAAGGAAGGACAAAUCCCACCAGAUUAUGUGGGCCCCUCCCAUCAUCAGCCAACGGCACCAGAGGUCACGGCUCCAUCGGCUGCCUUGACGAAUGCAAGUGCACAGUCUGCCGUCCCUCCAAGUACAUUGGGGACUACUGGUGCACUAUCUAUGCCGAUGGCAACCAACCCACAAAUUUCAGCUGGGCAGCAUAAACUGACAACAGAUAUGUUGGCAUCGGCAAUGUCAGGGUUGACUCUUCCUCCCAACUGGUGGGGUUACGGUAUGCCUCUAGAGCUGACGCCGGGAACAUCACAAAUAACUGACAUGAGGGGCAAAACUCCUAUGACAUCGGCACCUCCCAAUGCGCCGGUGAACCAGAGUCCUCGGUAUACCACAACCACUACUGCAAGGCCUCACACUGGGAAUCCUCAAGAUUCAAUGUUCCAGAUGCCCAACGCAUCGGCAGAGUCAAUGCUGAUGCAACAGAGGCCUAUGGCCCAGUCGGGGUAUGUCAAUUCAACGACGGUACCCAAUUACCAAUCAUCGGCAGCACCUAUGCCGAUGAACGCUAAUAAUGGAUGGCUUGGACAGCAAGCCUUUCCACAAUCACCCCAACAGAGUUACCAGACUACAGGGUUCCAGCAAGGGCAGGUCUAUCCCGGGUUCCAAGGACAGGGGAUUCCCAACCAGCCAAUGAAUUUUGGACAGCAACUCGGAGGACAGCCAAUCGGUGGACAGCAGUUUGGUGGUCCGCAGAUUGGAGGACAGGUGAUCAAUACAAUGUUCCGUGCAGAUCACGUCCCGAACAGACACGUGGAGGUUCGCCACCAAGUGCCAGAUCCGCAGCCGCCUCAUCGGCAAGAUGCCGAUGCAUAUUGGGCCGAUAAGAUUGCUGAAGUAAUGAGGGAACAAUUUGGGAUAAAACCCAAAGUCAACACUUAUUCUUAUCGGACACCGUAUCCUCCCGCGUAUGAUUUGAUCCCGCUUCCACAUCGGUACAAGGUACCAGAUUUUACAAAGUUUUCCGGACAGGACGACACGUCAACCAUGGAGCAUGUCAACAGGUUCAUUAUUCAAUGUGGAGAGGCUGGUAACAGGGACGAAUUGAGGGUUCGUCUAUUUUCAUCAUCAUUGUCUGGAUCGGCCUUUACUUGGUUCAUAUCAUUACCUCCCAACUCAGUAAUUACUUGGGCCGAUCUAGAAAAGCAAUUCCACAAAUACUUCUUCUCGGGGGUUCAUGAGAAGAAGAUCACCGACUUGGUCAAGUUGAGGCAACGUAAUGAUGAGUCGGUUGAGGGAUUUGUGCAGAGGAUACGAGAGGUCAAGAAUAAACGCUAUAGCCUGGUUCUGGAUGAUCGGCAGCUAGCCGAUUUGGCUUUCCAGGGUUUGUUGCCACAUAUCAGGGAUAAGUAUGCCUCUCAGGAGUUCGAAAGUUUAAGUCAUUUGGUGCAGAGGAUUUCUGAUCAAGACAUCAAGCCUUUCGAGCCUAAGAGAGCAUGGAAUAAGAAAGUGUCGUUUGUUGAUGAAGCCACAAGCUCAGAUUCUGAUGAAGAACCAGUAAUCGGUUUGGCAAAGUGGGUAAAAAACAAGAAGCCGAUGUCUUGUCCUUUUGGGCAGAAGGAACCAGAGAAGUUUGCUUUUGACACCGCUAAGGCUGAUAGGAUAUUUGACUUUCUACUUCAGGAAGGUCAGAUCAAACUGUCACCUAACCAUGUGAUCCCAUCGGCAGAAGAGUUGAAGAGGAUGAGAUAUUGCAAGUGGCAUAAUGCAACUUCCCAUGACACCAACGAGUGCAAAGUAUUCAGACAGCAGCUGCAAUCGGCUAUAGAGUCAGGGAGAAUCAAGUUUGACAAUUCCAAAGCCCAGAAGCCGAUGAAGAUAGACCAACAUCCUUUCCCAACAAACAUGUUGGAUGCUAAGGGGAAGGCUAAGGUCUUAACAUCAGAGACAGCUGAGAAGAGUGCAUCGGUAGAUCCUCAGCAUCAAGUUACUACUGCCGAUGCAAGAAGUAAGGGCUUGGUCCAGGAGGGAACUAGCUCAGGAAGGCUUCCUCGAUCUGGUAUCGUCAUAACUCAUAGAAGGCCUCGAGAAAAAUGGCAACAACGGGAAGAUCGGUAUCGGCGCCAGCAGGAAGAUUAUCGACGGGAAGAAGAAAGACGCCGACAGGAGUGGAAUCAGCACAGGGAUCAUUGGAAUUGUCCAUUCUUCAUCAAUUGUUGGGAGGAAAAUAUCAAGCUUCCUAUUGUCAGAGACUGCCCUGAGUGCAACGGUUAUGAUCGGUACGAUAGGAUCGAUCGGCAUUAUCAUAAUGAUGAACGGCGAUUCAAUGGGCCGAUUAGAGGAAGGGUGUCAGUUCAUGACCGGCUGGGGGGCAGAUUUAGUGGUCACAACAGACUUAGUGACCGUGUCCAGUAUUUUCCCAGGAACCAAGAAGAGCUCGAGGGAAUGGUUGAUGCGCGGGUUCCCGAUGAAUUCAUAUUUUGCAGGGAUGCUAACACGCAUCGUAUGGAGUCAAGGGAGAACCGACGCCCGACGGCAAGGCAAAGGCCACUUCCUCCAUGGUGCCCUGGAGGAUUAACCAAAACACAGAAAAGGAGAUUGCAACGUGAAAGGCAAGAAGAGCUAAACAAGGGAGAGAACUCUGGAAGUCGGCAGCCGUCAGACACUAAGAGGGAAGGUCCAUCGGCAGGCGUCAACAUGGUCUUCAUGUUGCCGAUGGAGUUUCUUGCACCAGCCAGUGAUGAUGAGUUGGAUUUUCUGAUCAGAUAGCUCAGUUGGCUCUGGAUCCGAUGACGGCUAUCUUUGAGAAACCUGCCGAUGACGAGAGGCAGCAUCUUAAAGCUCUGUUCCUCAAAGGAAGGGUUGAUGGGCAGCCAAUGACCAAGAUCCUAGUUGAUGGUGGAGCUGCUAUUAAUAUUAUGCCGUAUGCAGUAUAUCGGAAGCUUGGGAAAGGGGAUCAAGAUUUGACCAAGACCGAUAUGAUGCUCAAAGACUUUGAAGGAAACGUGUCUCCAGUCAAGGGGGCGAUAUGUGCAGAGUUGACCAUCGGCAGCAAAACCUUGCCGACAACUUUUUUCGUGAUCAGCGGAAAAGGUGCUUACAACUUAUUAUUGGGAAGAGAUUGGAUUCAUGCCAAUUGUUGUAUCCCAUCUACAAUGCAUCAGUGCUUGGUUCAGUGGGUAGGUGACAAGAUUGAGAUUGUCCCAGGAGAUUCUUCUUAUGUUAUCGCAUCGGCAGAAGCGGAUACUUACGAAAGGACCAGGUGCAUUUCAGGAGAAGUUUGGGAGAAAGAUUUUCUCAAAGUUGCCGACUAUGAGAUUCCACCGAUCCAAGCAGUCGGUUCUGACGACGGUUUUUAAUGGAUAGAUUCGCCGAUGAUGGAAAAUUAGGCCAGGGAUUCACAUCGGCCGAUGAUUUGGUAGAAGUAGAUAUAGGUAGUGGUGAUAAGCCUAGGCCUACUUUUAUUAGUGCUAAAUUAGAUCCUGAGAGUAAGCGACAAUUGACUAGUUUGUUAAAGUAAUAUAAAGAUUGCUUUGCUUGGGAUUAUACAGAGAUGCCUGGUUUAGACCGAUCAAUUGUUGAACAUCGGUUACCCAUCAAGUCUGGAUUUCGGCCACAUCAGCAACCAGCCCGCCGAUGUAAUCCUAACAUUCUACCUGAUAUUAAGGCCGAAAUCACUAAACUUAUUGAAGCUAAGUUUAUUCGGCAGUGUCGGUAUGCCGAAUGGAUUUCCAAUGUUGUUCCGGUUUACAAGAAGAACGGGAAGCUUCGGGUGUGCAUUGAUUUCAGGAAUCUCAAUAAAGCUACGCCGAUGGAUGGAUACCCAAUGCCUGUCGCCGAUCUACUGGUUGAUGCUGCGGCUGGACAUCGGGUCAUCAGCUUCAUGGAUGGUAAUGCAGGUUACAAUCAAAUAUUCAUGGCAGAGGAGGAUAUUCCAAAAACCGCAUUCAGGUGUCCUGGUCAUGUUGGAUUAUUUGAAUGGAUAGUCAUGACUUUUGGGUUGAAGAACGCUGGUGCUACUUAUCAAAGGGCUAUGAAUUUUAUAUUUCAUGAGUUCAUCGGCAAGCUCGUAGAGAUUUAUAUUGAUGAUGUGGUGGUUAAGUCUGGAGAUUUCUCAAAGCAUCUUGCCGAUUUACGAAAAGUGUUAGAGUGCACAAGGAAGCAUGGAUUGAAGAUGAAUCCCAACAAGUGUGCAUUUGGCGUAUCGGCAGGGCAGUUUCUUGGUUUCAUGUUACAUCAGAGGGGUAUUGAAAUUAGUCGAAGAUCUAUUGAUGCCAUCAAUAAAAUAGUGGCCCCUACCAACAAAACCGAGCUCCAAUCCUUGAUCGGCAAGGUAAAUUUUAUCAGGAGAUUUAUAUCGAAUUUAUCUGGAAGGAUUCGUGCUUUCAGUCCUCUUCUUAAAUUGAAAGCCGAUCAAGAGUUUGUUUGGGGAGAAGAACAGCAGUUGGCUCUGGAUGAAAUCAAGAAGUAUCUAGUAAAUCCUCUAGUUUUAGUUCCACCUCAACAAGGGAAGCCAUUCAGAUUGUAUUUAUCUACCGAUGGAUCGGUUAUCGGUUCAGCUUUAGUUCAAGAAUUUGAAGGGAAAGAAAGGGUAAUUUAUUAUUUGAGUAGGAGGUUGAUUGAUGCUGAAACCAGGUAUUCGGCCAUUGAGAAACUAUGCUUAUGCUUAUAUUUUUCAUGUAUCAAGCUGAGACAUUACCUGUUAUCGGUCGAAUGCACUAUCGUUUGCAAAGAUGACGUGGUCCGAUACAUGCUAUCUAUGCCGAUUAUGAGUGGUAGGAUCGGUAAAUGGAUUUUAGCGCUGUUGGAGUUCGAUUUGCGUUACGAAUCGGCUAAGGCAGUCAAAGGGCAGAUUAUGGCCGAUUUUGUGACUCAGCAUUGCGGUCUAGUGGAAACCUUGGAAAUUGUACCCUGGACGCUCUUCUUUGAUGGAUCUACUUGUGACCGGGGGGCAGGAAUCGACAUUGUAUUAGUUUCCCCUAAGGGGAGGAAGUAUGAGUUUUCCUUGCCGAUUGUUGCCACAUUGACAAAUAAUCAGGCUGAGUAUCAAGCUCUGAUCAAGGGAUUGGAGUUGCUGAGAGAAGUUCGUGCUGAUGCUGUUGAAAUAUUCGGGGAUUCUAUGUUGGUUAUAAAUCAAUUGGCCGGAAGCUAUGAAUGCCGAAGUGAAGUUCUCAUAACGUAUUUCGAGAGAAGUAUGCAACUGUUAAAGGAAUUCAAGGAUUUCCGAUUGGAGCAUGUUCCCCGAUUGCAUAAUGAAGACGCUAAUCGGUUAGCUCAGCAUGCCUUGGGAUAUCAGCCAAUGAUUAAUGCGACAUCGGUAGUCGGUGCCGAUGAUUGGAGGAAAGAAAUUAUUGAUUAUCUAAAAGAUCCAUCCAAAAAAGUUGAAAGACGGGUUCGAUUUCAAGCAACCAAGUAUGUGCUCCUUGAAAAUGAAUUGUAUUAUCGAACUAUCGAUGGAAUUCUUCUCCGAUGCUUGGGUAAUGAUGAAGCUAGAAGUUUGAUGGGAGAAAUCCAUGAGGGAGUGUGUGGAGCGCAUCAGUCAGCUUUUAAGAUGAAGUGGAUGAUUCGAAGGAAUGGAUAUUUUUGGCCAACCAUACUUGAAGAUUGUUUUAAAUAUUUCAAGGGAUGUCAAGGUUGUCAAAAGUUUGGUAAUAUCCAGAGAGCACCCGCAUCGGCUAUGAAUCCUAUAAUAAAGCCUUGGCCGUUCCGGGGAUGGGCCAUCGAUCUGAUCGGCCAGAUUUAUCCACCAUCUAGCAAAGGGCAUAAGUUCAUUCUAGUUGCCACUGACUAUUUCACUAAGUGGGUUGAAGCUAUUCCUUUGAAGAAAGUCACUUCGGCUAAUAUGAUUGAUUUUUUGAAGGAGCAUAUUAUUUACCGAUUUGGGAUUCCCCAAACGAUUACUACCGAUCAGGGCACCAUGUUCACAUCGGGGGAGUUCGAUGAAUUCGCAAUCGGUAUGGGAAUUAAAGUGUUGAAUUCUUCUCCUUAUUAUGCUCAAGCCAAUGGGCAGGCCGAAGCGUCUAACAAAGGAAUUAUCAAGCUUAUUAAACGGAAGAUUGAAGAAAAUCCUAAGCGGUGGCAUACAUUAUUAAAUGAAGCAUUAUGGUCUUAUCGGAUGGCUUGUCAUGGAUCGACCAAGGUAUCACCCUAUCAAUUGGUGUAUGGACAUGAUGCAGUGUUGCCUUGGGAAAUUAAGGCUGGAUCUAGGCGAUUAUCUUUUCAAAAUCAAUUAACUUCCGAUGGUUAUGCCACUUUGAUGACCGAUGAAUUGGACGAUCUAGCAGGGCAUCGGUUAAAAGCUUUAAUGAGUAUAGAAGAGAAUAAGAAAAGAGUUGCUAGAUGGUAUGAUAAGAAGGUGAAGGCUAAAGAGUUUGCCGAUGGGGAUUUGGUAUGGAAAUUAAUUUUACCAGUUGGGACCAAAAGCUCGAAGUUUGGAAAGUGGUCUCCUAAUUGGGAGGGUCCUUAUCGGAUAAGUCGAUCGGCUCCUGGUAAUGCCUACAUUCUAGAAACCCUCGAAGGAAUUGGAUUUCCUAGAGCAUUAAACGGCAAAUAUUUAAAGAAGUACUACCCUAGUAUAUGGGUCGAUGCAUAGAAGUUUAGGUGCCGAUAACACUCCUAUCGGCUGGAUCCAAAUGCUUGGGGACAAGACUUGGUGUUUCAAAAGUUUAGGCGCCGAUAACAGUCCUAUUGGCUAGACUAAAAGCUGAGGAAGCAGGAAAGCACAGAUACAAUGCCGAUGGAAACUCUAUGUGUUAAGCAGCAUCUGGAUUGCCGAUAUAGCGCGUAGCCGAAUUUGGUUGGCUGCUUCUAUCUCCUUGAUGUCAUCAUCGGCAGAACCUUCUAUCGGCUUCAGCUUCUUCUUCAGUUGGAGUGCUUUGUGACCAUGAGCAUUUCGCUCGCGCUCAAGAAGCCUGAUGGUCUCUGGCAAUUGGCUCUCUUCCUGUUGGGCUUGGGACAACGCGUUCUCUAUUUCCUUAAGCUCCGCCAAUAGGGACUCUUUUCUUGCCGAUAGAUCGGAUAUCUUCUGCUUCAGCGCGUCUCCAGAAGAUCUCAGGAUGCCGAUGUUCUUGUGCUUCUCAUCGGUCAAAAGCUUUUCUUUCCUCAUUUCAUCGGAGAGUUGAGUCUGAGCGGCUCUAUCGGCAAGCCGCCGAGAAGCUCUUUGGUACUGCAGCUGGCGACUCUCCAGAUGAGCGGCUUGGAACAGGAUUUCUUCAACAUCGGUUGGGACUUGGCCUCUGAGAGUUCUGAACAGGGUCUUGGUAGGGUCGGAAUCAUCAACCAAUUGCGCUGUGUCCUGGUGAAGGAGAGCUGACAAUUCUUCCAGCCUGACCCUGACCUCUGCCGAUGUGAUGCCGACCGACUAAGAAGUGCUUGCUUCUUCACCGUCUUCUUCAGAGAAAUCGAUGGCGAAGGAGAACAGGCUAUCGGGAGAAUCUUGUUCCGGGGAGGGAAAGCAAAAUUAGCUCAUACUUAGAGAAUCGGCAAAUAAUGCUGGCGGUAAACAGUGACUUACUUGCUUCAAGGCGAUCUCUUGCCUUGGACUGGGAGGUGCUGACGGAGAUGCGGGCUGACCGGCCAAAGAUGCCGAUGGAACUACAGGUUUAUCGGCUAAGGUUGCCGAUGGGACGAUAUCGACUGAAAGAAGACAAGAAAGGUUAUGAGACUGAAUAAGAAUAAGUUCAUCGGUAGCGAUAUUGUUAAAGUAUGUUACCUGGAGGAGGGACGACAAUUGUAUGAAUCGGGAGAACUGCCGAUGGUAUAAUUGGACCCACCAGGCCAGUUGUUUGUUCACCCGUGUCAGCUGAUGUACCUUCUAUUUGAGAUCCUUCCUGUCGGGGUUCUUCUAUCUGUGGUGCUUCCUGCAUAGGUGGGGGAGAUGGUGCUUGCUGUGGCUGGGCUUCUGGAGAAGAAGGAGAAGACUCCACCGGAAUUGGAGAUACCGGAGGAGGAGGGGGAGUUGCUACCUUCUGGCGCUUUGUUCCAGUCUUAGCACCCGUGGUACCCUUCCUCUUUGGCUGGCUGGACUGGGUGACAUCGGCACCUUGACGUGUGACCUUUGCCGAUGCACUGGUUUGCUGCAAUAACGAACAGGGGUUUAUAAGUAUAAAUAAAGCCGAUAUAAAGAUAGUCAGCGUAAAAGAUAAAGAUUUGACAAAUUGCCUUGAAAGCCCGUGCUAGAGUGGGAGCAGCUACCGUUGGUGAUGUCUGGGUUCUCCUGGUCGUAACUUUCCUGAGGCGCACACCCCGAUGCACGAUGGAAGCCAGAGUGGGAGCAUUGUGGCCGAUUGAGGAAAUUGGGCCUGAUGGAAACAAGUCGAUCGGCUUGCCACUCCUGCUAACUGAUGAGGGGAUGUUAUCAACCUGCAAAAGGAAUACAAGGGUAAGCUACUGAUGGAAAUAAUGUUGAAAAAAUGAAACAUCAGUUGGAGAUAUUUACAGUAUCAUCGGGAAUUUCGUAUUCGGAGUCGAUCAUGCCGCGGUAUGAAAGGGCCGAUCUGCAGAAUAGAUGCUCUUUCCAUUCUGCCCACCAUAACUUGUAUGCCUGAGUGAUAAAAGCAGCCGGAACCCAUUCUGAUAGAUCUACAUCUGUAUCGGCGUUUGGUGGUAGUUGGGCUACUCGACUCCACUCAAGAAAGUUAUUGAUAGUUUCUCUGGGUUUUAUCACAUCGGCACAAGGAAGUGCGAUUGGCAACUGGCCGAAAGCUAACUGGCGAGCUAAUGCCGAUGGAUUGUAAAAUUCGUAAGUCUGGGGAGAAGUUUUUGUGCUACCGAAGAAAUUCACUGGAAUGGCUCUGGGAGUCACAAUUGCCAUCAUCGCUUCAUUGUCCCUGUUGAGAGCUUCAUCAAAUGGAUUGAAGGUCAGAGGGAGCAUGCUAUCUGGGUCAUCAUAAGCCAACCAGGGUCGUUCAUCUCUGGCCAAACCCUCAUACAGAGUCUCGAAGAAUCGGCCAAUUUGAUCCGGAUUACUCCCUGAACCAGGUAGGACUAUGACGGCUUCGCCAAAGUUCAAGGGGGCACGCGUUGCCGAUUCCUCUUCACCCAACACAUGAUUUUCGGCUAUAUCUCUUGGGAAGUGCUGUGAGAACAAGUUGAAAUCAAGGCGCUUAUGCAGGUGCAGAUUGAGCCACAUAUUAAUAAACCACCAGGGGCCUCCCAAGUUGCCGAUGGAUUGGCCAAGCAGGAGUUUCUGUGCUACCUGAUGGAGAAGGUGGUAAACAGCGCCAAGCAAGUAUCGGCCGAGAGGAAAUUGGCCACCGUUAGCCAGUCUCUCUGCUGCCGAUAGAUAGACAGAAGUCGGCCCUGCCGAUCGACCACAGAAUACAAACUUGUCCAGCCACAUGUUCAGAAAGGUGGUUUGCUCCUUUAUGGUGACAGGCCCUCUCCCGCGGUACUUCUGAAUGUACCCUGACCAACCGCCGAUAGCGCGAGUCUCCACUUUGGCACUGGGGGCAGUAUCAAAAAAGUGGGUGCUAUCGGCAGAAGAUAUAUCUAGCCCAGUGAGCAUGGCUACAUCGGUAAGGGUAGGAGAAGCAGGCCCGUGGCCAAAAACAAAAGCAUUGAGGGUGUCUGACCAAAAGUAGGACGCAGCUAUCAGCAGUGACUCAUUCUUGUGCAUAUCGGCAAUGGAUAGCCUAAUGCAUUGGGCUAGCUUCCUUUCACCCCACUGGACUUCAUAAGAAUUGCUGACCCUCAAGAACCAGUCUUUCCACCCUACGGUAGGGCUGGGCCAAGAGCGAAAAGUGUCUUUCCACAGAUCUAAAGAAAAGUUUUCAGCUCUAAAGGGGAUCCUAUUGGUUUCUGCGUUGAUAAGGUUGGUUGGAUCUGAAUCCCCUAGAGGGCCGAGACAUUGAAGGUGUGGUUGAUCGGUGGGGAUGACAAUUUUAUUGGACAACUCCUAGUGAUUUUGGGGGAAUAAAAAUACAAAGAAAAAGGAAAAGGAGAUUAUUCAGUAAGAUGAAUCGCGGAUGAACAGGAAUAAAAAUAUACAGAAGAUGAGAUGGAGAUCUGACCUCAGGGACGACGAAGCCAAUGGCCAUCUUGUCGUGAAGAGGACGUUGGAGGGCACCGGAGUUGAUGAAGAGGAAUGCUUGUCGGAGGUCUUGAAGGUUGUGAAUGGCGCCGCCGCUGGAAAAGUAAAGUUGGGUAGUAGAAUGGUGUGAUGGGGAAGGAGUACCCAAGAAGGAACUAUUUAUAGGACAAGAUGGGCAAGGGCAAAUCCGACUUAUCUCUUUGCCGCAUCCGAGAGACCCGAGGGUACUCAGGUGGAUAUGGCAACUGUUCGCACGGUAAUCCAGGGAUUGUGCAGGUGAUUUGACAGGAAGCGGUCAUUAUCUGAAGAUAUUUUACUGUGCGAGAUCUCCUGGUCGGUCCAUCGGCGAUAUUCUAUAACGGUCAUUUUGCCGAUGGGCGGAUAGAGGGGAAGUAACCGUUUUUGCGAAUAUCCUGGUCAGAGCAUCGGCAGAUCUUUGUAACGGUAUUGUUACCGAUGUACGACUGAGAAAAAUGCCCGUUUAGGAAGUUGGGGAUUUCGAGGAAUCUGCGGAGGAUUAGGAUCAGAGUUGUCCAGAUUGAGGUUGUCGGUUACCAGAUUAGGAGCAUUAAUUGCGGGAGAAGGCAUCAUUACUGCAGAGAAUUUCGGAGCAUUAAUAGUUUUACACUCCGAAACUGGGGGGCAUGUGUUGACACCGUUUUUGGGCACGUGUCUAGGAUGGCAGGAUAAGGUGGCAGUACGAUGUUUACAAAGCGGGUUGCCGAUGAGGAUGGUUGCCGAUGAGGGAGAAGUUGAAUGUGACAGGCAGUAAUAUGGUGCCGAUGGCUAGAUAAGAAAGUCUGCCGAUGACUAUGGCAAAGGAUCUGCCGAUGAUGCAAAGGAGGAGUCUGGAAGCUGCCGGUCGUUAUGUGGAGGAGUUUCGGUUUGUUACGAGGGAUAGUUUUGUUAUUUCCUUAAUUAUUUGCAUCGUUUUGUAUACGGAUUCCGUGUAAUUUGGAAUUCGAAUUCUAAUCGUGUCUGGUUGUAGCUCUUUGAGCAGGGUAUAAAUAUAGACCCUAGGGCCUUGUAAGAAAAAGCAAUCAGUCAAUCAAACAUAUGUUUUUACUCAUAUUCCAGCAUCUACUUUUCGACGACUUCGUCAUACUUUUUUCCUUUUAUUACGAGUUCUUAGGAAUUCGUCGACUUAAGCUCGGCGUGUUCUCGAGUUCCGUGUGAGUACCUCUUAGCCGUGACAUCCGGGCGCAUCGCUGUUGUCAGGACUAAAGUAUUCGAGUUAUCACCUUUGCCGAUAGUAAGGUCAAAUCGGCUGGCACGCAUUAACAUUUGAAUCGGGUAUUAGCCCUUUGUGUUUGUAGAUCAGUUUUGCAUCAACAAACACAUCAUAUGCAUGGACGGGUGUCCGUGUAUGUGGGGUGUAUAGUUUUAACAUUCUUGUUCUGCAUGAGCAUACUGUGGGUGGGCUGAAAUGAGUUUUCUGCAGGUACAUUAACCAUGUUCUCGCUUAGAACGCUAGUUACGUUAUGAGAAAACGCUGUGUGCCACCGCAUAUACCGCUUAGUGUUAACCUUUGUUUCUAAGUUGGUGAGAUCGUAAGUUCGUGCAUGCAUCAUGUUCAUUUCAUAUCAUUGCUUACUUUCCCCCUUAAUUUAAUCUGUCCCAAUUCUAAAUAAAAUAAUUAAAGGUAAUCCUCGAUCUUAACCAAGGUAUUCCAUUUGCAGCAGAUGGCACGCACUAGGCUCACCGCUCGCAAGUCCACUGGUGGGCGGGCCCCUCGCCAUCCGUUGGCAGUUAGGAGCUCACGACAUAAGAGCAAGUUCCUGGAGGAGUUUGGGAUGCCCACUUUGCUGUGGAGAGUGCUUAGCUCGAUGGGGUUGUUGACGGUCCUUAAGUAUCAAAUUUAAUUACCAAAUAAACAAAGAAAAGGAUCCAAAUGAAAUCAACAUCUAGACUUAGGGUUUUAUCUGACAGAAUUCCACGACUUUUGGUGUUUGUCUAUUUCUGCAGGGGGUUAUCAGGAAAUAAGGAAGAAAGGCCCACAUGUCGGGAUUACAUAGAGAUAUCAACCCACCGCGCAAUUUUCUACCAUCUAGAAGACUCCAGAAGCCACGGGAAGGAAGCGGAGCCCGAAAGGGGCCAGGCCCAGGGCGCCCACCCUGAGGACCUGGGCGCCCGCCCACCUCUGGACUCCAUUCCGGACUCUCUUCGCACACGACGUUCCACCGACCUAUUUGAUCCAGAAUAACAUAGUACCACCUCGCCUAUCGACCCAAAAACGCAUAGAAGGGGACGACUAUAUAAGGAGACCCCCUCUGGCCCCUGGAGGAGACAAGAAAUUAUCAUAGAGAUUGAGGGGUGCCCUCGCAGGAAAACCUCUUCUCUAAAUAAUAUUUCUUUUUAGGCUUAGCAACCAAUGUAAAGUAGAAAUAGAUCUUCUAGUUUCUACUAGAUUGAGAGAGAUAGAGUGGAGGUGUGGAUCGGAGGAAGGCCGGCCUGUCGGUGUCUACUCCGAGUUGUACCUGCGGGAUCAAGUCUCCUAACCCGAGGCUUGCUUCUAAGAUUCUUCAGUAAUUCGACUUCUAAUACUAGUAAGUUCUUAUUUUAUUGUUCUUUGGUUUAUGAGUUUACUUUAAUCCUCUUCCGGUAGAGUAUUAGAGUAAUCACUUGCUAGCGUAAAUGUGGUGUUUAGGCUAGGGUACUCAUAGAUAUCCCCUGACUAGCUGGACCGUGGUAGUAGCGAGGAACGUGACAAUUCCGAGUUACCUUUGCAGAUCACAUCUCGUUAGCGGGACAGGUAGGUUUAUAGGUGCGGGUCGAACAUCCUUUGUGUUGUCUAGAUUCCGUGAGCCUCCCCAAUAGAACAGUAGAUCAUCCUUACCAAGGUUAGAACGAGACUACGGUUGCAGUCUUCUCUAUACAUCACUCACAUCGAGAGACAUUCUUUGUAGCCUAAAGGGAUAGUAGCAAUAGAUUUGGUUAGUCAGAUGCACCCUUUCUCCCAGUGGUAAAAAUAUAAAUACGAUAACUCUGGAAAACCUCCCGGGUGAAAUGCUCACCGAUAUCCGUGCGCUUGCGGAUCAUUUUCUAAUUGCGUUACCAAAUAUCAACAAGCAUUUCUGGCGCCGUUGCUGGGGAGAAAGACGGUUUGCUGAGAUAACUUUGAGUCUUGCUAUUAUCUUGUAUUAUACUUUUGUACUUUUAUUCUUUUAUCAUUUUAUUUUUAUUUUUAUGGAUAACUCAAAUUCCAUACCUAUUAUUGAAUUCUUUGCACCUUCGGAGACCAGCCAUAGACCAUGGGAGUCAACACAUCCUGCCCCUAAUCAAUUGGUCUCUCCAUCCUUAUCACAUUUGAGAUCUCCAACCCUCUCUUCUUUUCUAUUUAUAAAAACUUUGAAAGAGCGGUUGUCGAUGCAUAUGUCUAUAAUAAAUAUUGCAGAUCUCGUUGAGUUAAUUGAUGGUUUCCCAAGGACAAGCUUAGUGUCCUAAAACAAGCACUUCUAAUUAUUUGCAACAUUGCCUUGUGUAUUGAGCAUAUAAAGAUAAUUGUAGAAAUAUUCCUUCGGGUAUUCUUGUCACUAACCUUUCCAGGAUUGGAGCAAGAAGAUCGGAUGAAUGACAAGCACAAGGUAUGUCCAACCAACCAUCACACAAUAUUGAAUUAAAUUCAUCCAAACUUGAAUUUUGCAAAAUUCAAGCUUGGGGGAGUACUUCACAUAAAAACAUCCUUUGCCAUGUUGCUAUGUUGGUUGUCCUUACCUUUGAGAGAUGCUCAAUUUGUUAAGUACUAAUUACACUACUUCACCUCCAUUUGAGUAGAUCGCUAUAAAUGCUCUCAUGCUACCUUUAUUUGCUUUAGUAUAUGUCUAGGUUUGGAGUAGUUUCAUUUAUCUCUUAAAUCAAGCAUGGUGCUUAGUUUAGGAAUGAUGAUCUUACUUCCAAAGGAUUUUUAAAUUAAGCAUGGUGCUUAGGUUAAAAUGCCCUCCUAAAUAAAAUUAGACAUGGUGUCUAGGUUGAUUUUUGAGCCGAUAGUACGCUAUAGUAGAUAUGGGAUAUUUUGUUGGACUAACCCCUACAGGAAAACUUUCAAUAUCAACCUGGGAAGUCCUGAGAUACAAACUCAUUGGAGAUAAAGGAGACACAUGAAGUUUAACAAUUUGCACAAGAAGGACAUAGCUCAUUCAUCAUAAAGAGAUGAUCCAUGGAGGGUGCCACAAACACGAUGCAAGGAAAGCUUCCACAAGGUGAUACUGUACCGUCACUCUUCAAGUAAGGUAACAUUUUAAGGUACUUGACUAUCACUUUUAUAAGCUUCUCCUUGGUUCUAGUGUUCACAUAAAAUAAAGAGAUAAACAUGUGUGAUUUGUAGCUCCAAAUUAAUCAACCCAAUUAAUUCAACAUGUUUAGUCCUUUAAUCUUUGUUCUUAGUACUACCUUCGUGAUCCCACACUCCUAAUCAUAUAAGCUAAAGUAUUACACAUUCAAUCUUUGGAAGAUAUAAACAAAACAUAAAAAUAGAUAGAUUAUCUUUCCAUUAGGUUGAGCCAUCUGAUCUAACACAUGUUUUAAAUGCUACACUCAUGAUCCAUCAACUUUGUCUUACUCACUAUGCUUAAGGUUAGAGAAGAACAAAUACACUUUUGGUUCUGUUGGUGUUUUCCACCAACAGAGCCCAUGCACUUGAUCUCUGCCUUGUCUCUAUGAGCAGGACACAUUUUGAGAAACAUGAAGGCGUUUUACAACUACCAGAUUCCAUCAAGUAAAGAACCGGGAUCUACGAGCACAAACACAAUGGAGAUCAGACACUUAGUUUCCCAAAGGAAAUAUUGAAGAACCUCUGUGUCCGAGUUGGUACCUUGUACGCUCCAGCAAACUUUGUGGUGAUAGAGAUUGGUACUGAGGAGAGGGCACCCAUCAUCUUAGGGAGGCCAUUCCUAAACACUAGAGCUGUCAUCUACGCUAAUGCUGCCAAGAUCAGUCUCUACAUCAAGGGGAAGAAGGAGACUUUCCUUCAAGAACAAGACUACACAAGCUUCAGAGCAAUCCCGACAUAAACCAAGGAAGAGGACCAACAGGAGGAACAGGAACAAGCAAAUGUGGACCGAGUCAGCUAAGAUGGUCACUGCAGCUCAAGGAGGUCAGGAUCGUCGACUCAAGUCACCUUUCUUGAUCAAGAAGGAUGACCCUGGUGUUCCAAGAAUCGAAUGCACAAACAAUGGAUACGCUUUUUAGAAGACACUCUACGACACCAGAUCUGACGACAACAUAAUGGCCGCAGUCACUUAUCAGCUCCUGCAUAGAACCAUGCCCCUACAACCAAGAUACAUUCAGCUUCAAACAACUUUUAGGUCAUUGACAUGGGAGAAGACAAGUAUGAUCCAUCCACCAUCCUUGGAAGACCGUUCCUAAACACUAUCAAAGCCAUUAUCUAUAUUGGAACCGGAGAAGUCCACAUGCACUUCCCCUCACAGAAAGGUACGCCACUACUUUAAUGAUUAUAUAGUUGAAGAUUCUAAGUAGGUCAGGAUAAGAAGAAGACAACGCAACUGCAACCAGAGGAGGCAAAUCAUCAAGGACGGAUGGGUAGACUACGAAGGAGAAAUGAUAAGGUCUGAAGACAUACAGCUUGAAUAGAAAUGUCCAGAGGAGACCGUAGCACCGAGUCAGAAAGAGAAGAUAGUUAUACACGAAAAGGAGACGCCACCGGAAUCACCGACUACGUCAUCCAGUGAAUCCCAGGAUGACUGAGAAAACGGAGAGUCCCGUUCGGAGGACUUAAAAACACCGAACGCCUUGCCAAGAGGUAAACUUGGUAGUUAUCCUUUCCCUUUUAAUUAUUUCAAAUAGUUUACUUAGUUAAUCAUGUUCGUAUUAUCCUAGAAAGAAAAUAAAAAAGUGAAAAAAACUGUAAGCCCCAUGUGAGUAGACGAGUGGCAUAAAACCCAUAAGUACAUUCACUGUGGUGGCAUAAAAAUAAAAUAAAUAUUUUUUGCUUUAUAAAAAACAAAAAUAUAAAAACAGGGAGUAAUAUUUAUUAAGGAGUCUCAACAUGAUAAAGGCUAGAUAUUUAUGCUAACACUUAAUCAGUUCCACAAGCUUUGUUGUCUAUUUGAGCUCCACAAAAUUUAAGAAUCAAGAAGACUAGCAGACGAAGGACAUUCUAAUCGCUGUCAAAAUACUGCUGACUUUCAAACACACCUCUGCCACCUGCUAGCUACAUCAAGAGAAAUUACGUCAAAAUUCAGCUUGGGGGAGAGCACCCCCAUUUAUCUCGAUAAGUAUUUCUAUCUAUCUUUAUACUUAUACUAUAUUAGAAUAUAAAUACACAUAACUAUGAAAAACCAAAUAAAGAUUUUAUGCUUAUAUAUAUUUUGCUUAGUGUGUUUAAUAAAUAAAUAAAGUGGCCAUGCUAAUCUGUAUCUAAUAAAACUUAAGCAUGGAUAUGAUGAAUAGUUGCUCUGCCUAAUUUGCAAAUUUGAAGUUCUCUCUCAAGUUUAGAUAUAACUGUUAUAAUUUAAGGCUUGCUCUAGACCUAAACUUGUGGGAUGAAAACUUGAUCUGAAGUCUAAGUUGUUAAUGGAUACGAUAUGGGAAGGUUGAGCUGCUGCUUAUCUGUUCCUAGAGAUGCUAGAAUUCUGGAGAAUUUUAUCUUUGAAAAUCUAUAAAAUGUUGCAUGAUGAGUUCCUGUAUGAUGAGAGUUUAAAUUCCUACCACAGCUAUAUAUACAUGCUUGCUAGACCUUGAGACACACACUUACUAUUUACUACUUAUGAGCAUUGAGUGUGGUCAAGCUGUGUAGACCCUUAGGAGCUUGUCAUGUGGUUAAAUCAAGAUUCACUUGCACGUUCACUCAUACAUGCUACUUCUCCUCCGGAAGUACCAUCCACAUAUGUCCACUCAUUUCCAUCUCCAAAACCACCCAAAAGUAUUUUACUCCUAAUCCGGGAGAGAAUAACCAAAAAUAUUUCUGUUUCCCCUUGUGAAAUAAAUGCUCAAGUUAUCUUGUUACUACCACUUGCUAUAUUAUCUCAAGAGAUGAAUGCUCUGAAAAAAAAGAGAGAAAAAGAAAAUAAAAGAUAUGAGGAAAUAAAAAGGAGCAAGUGCUCGGAACCUCGAAAGAAAAGAAAAAAAGAAGAGCAUCUCAUUCUCCUCAUAAAGUUUCAAAAGCAAGGAAGGUAUGUAUCCCCUCAAAGAGCAAAGUAGAAAUAGACUUCCACCACCAUUGUUAUCACCAUCAUCACCAUACACCAUUCAUUCGCCACACAUGCACAUCUUGAUUUGACUUAUUGAUUUGUUUCUUUGGAUCCAUGGUUUGACUAUGCAAUAAAUGUCUUGUAAGUAUGUAUACUUUAUCUCCCACCUAUGAGCUCCAGAUAUUAAAGCCUUAUUAGAGUAGGGUGAGAGAGAAGACAAUGUCACUAUGCUUCAUACCACAAAUACUACAUAUCUUGAGAGAAGGCAUAUACCAUCACAGCCUUGGUAAGGAUCCAAAAAUACCACAAAAGAGAGACCUGAGAGAAUCAUACAAGGAAUUUCUGAGUUUUAUUUGAAAAUCUGCAAAAACCCCAAAGCUAUAGCUGAUCAAGAAUAAGAGACAUGGCACUUGGCUAGACUGUUCUAUCUUUUAACCACUCAAGACAGAAGUGACGGUUACAAGUCCUAUAGUGUAGGUAAAGUAAGUAAGUUUUAAGUCUUAACAGUUUAUUCUAACUCAGAGAUGAGAUCUUGCUUAAAUGCGUGUGUACUUCUAAGAAAUGAAACCACUGCAGAAACUCUUGAGUUCAUCCUUGCUCAGGGACGAGCAAGAGGUAAGCUUGGGGGAGUUUGUUGACGGUCCUUAAGUAUCAAAUUUAAUUACCAAAUAAACAAAGAAAAGGAUCCAAAUGAAAUCAACAUCUAGACUUAGGGUUUUAUCUGACAGAAUUCCACGAGUUUUGGUGUUUGUCUAUUUCUGCAGGGGGUUAUCAGGAAAUAAGGAAGAAAGGCCCACAUGUCGGGAUUACAUAGAGAUAUCAACCCACCGCGCAAUUUUCUACCAUCUAGAAGGCUCCAGAAGCCACGGGAAGGAAGCGGAGCCCGAAAGGGGCCAGGCCCAGGGCGCCCGCCCUGAGGACCUGCGCGCCCGCCCACCUCUGGUCUCCGUUCCGGACUCUCUUCGCACACGACGUUCCACCGACCUAUUUGAUCCAGAAUAACAUAGUACCACCUCGCCUAUCGACCCAAAAACGCAUAGAAGGGGAGGACUAUAUAAGGAGACCCCCUCUGGCCCCAGGAGGAGACAAGAAAUUAUCAUAGAGAUUGAGGGGUGCCCUCGAAGGAAAACCUCUUCCCUAAAUAAUAUUUCUUUUUAGGCUUAGCAACCAAUGUAAAGUAGAAAUAGAUCUUCUAGUUUCUACUAGAUUGAGAGAGAUAGAGUGGAGAUGUGGAUCGAAGGAAGGCCGGCCUGUCGGUGUCUACUCCGAAUUGUACCUGCGGGAUCAAGUCUCCUAACCCGAGGCUUGCUUCUAAAAUUCUUCUGUAAUUCGACUUCUAAUACUAGUAAGUUCUUAUUUUAUUGUUCUUUGGUUUAUGAGUUUACUUUAAUCCUCUUCCGGUUGAGUAUUAGAGUAAUCACUUGAUAGCGUAAACGUGGUGUUUAGGCUAGGGUACUCAUAGAUAUCCCCUGACUAGCUGGACCGUGGUAGUAGCGAGGAACGUGACUAUUCCGAGUUACCUUUGCAGAUCACAUCUCGUUAGCGGGACGGGUAGGUUUAUAGGUGCGGGUCGAACAUCCUUUGUGUUGUCUAGAUUCCGUGAGCCUCCCCAAUAGAACAGUAGAUCAUCCUUACCAAGGUUAGAACGAGACUACGGUUGCAGUCUUCUCUAUACAUCACUCACAUCGAGAGACAUUCUUUGUAGCCUAAAGGGAUAGUAGCAAUAGAUUUGGUUAGUCAGAUGCACCCUUUCUCCCAGUGGUAAAAAUAUAAAUACGAUAACUCUAGAAAACCUCCCGGGUGAAAUGCUCACCGAUAUCCGUGCGCUUGCGGAUCAUUUUCUAAUUGCGUUACCAAAUAUCAAUAGGGGUAUCCUGAAGGAAGGGAGCCUCGCUACUAUUGGGAUAAGGAGCUGCUUGGUGACGGGACACUGGUGGGGAUCGAGGCAGUUGUCCCUACCAGUGGAGGAGACCCCACUUGGGGCGGCUGGGUGUAUGAGUCCCGAGGUAUCACGCCUUUCCACGGUGCCAGCAGGGCAGCUUUCGCAGUUCUGAGGGACCUCAUGGAGAGGUUUCCACAGGAGCUGGCCCACGCCUUCGCUGGGGUGUUUCCUCGGGGUGACCCCUACACUUCGGUGUGGGAUCAGUCCGAGGUGAACGCUCUAGAGAGGAGUGCGGAUGAGGACCAGCACAGUGACAGCGCAGCUAUGAGUGCUAUGUACGCCUUGAUGAAGACCUAUGGGGGCCUGGAGCGUUGUUUGGGUCGCUUGUCCGGGUCUCUUCUCACUAUCCAGGAUGAGAAGCGCCAGUUGCAGUGUGAGUUCGACUCGGAGGUUGAGAGGCUGCAGGCAGAGCUGGCCCGCGUGACCCGAGAGAGGGACCAGGCGGUCCAGAAGAACAGUGAGCUGAGCCAGGACCUGCUUGCAGUGUGAGAGCAGAGGGACAGGGUGACUACUGCUCACAGGAACUGCGAGCGCAUGCUAGUCCAUGUGCUUGGUCAGAGGAAUGAAGCCUGGCACGAGGAGGACACUUUGAGGGCCCGACAGCUAGAGCUAGAGCAGCAGCUAGCUAAUGCUGAGGAGUACAAUGAGAACUUGCAUGAGGAGAUCCACCAGCUGCAUAACCAGCUCCACCCUCAUCACCUGCCUGGAGCAGCUGACCUAGACUCUGAGGACGAGAUGGAUGAGGAUCCCGAGAUAGGAGCAGCUGCUAGUGGAGAUGAGGACGAGGAGGGCUCCGACAUGGACAGUGACCAUAGCUAGUAGAUGCUAGGGCUCAAGAGCUAGUCCUUCUUCUUUUGUUGUUGUAUGUUGCAUGGCAUGUCUUGUACUUUUGGAUCUGAGCCAUGUAAAACUUUAUGAGAUGAUGUGGGAAGUCCAGUGUAUGUAUGCUGGCAAUUUUGAACGUAUGUGAACAUUGUUGCUUGAACGAUAAGUAAUAUGUUAGUGAUGUUGUGCGUGGAUGAUGAAUUGUUGUGCUUCUAUUUAUUGUGCGAAUUUAUUCCCUCAGUAAAUUCAGUACGGCAUAAUUCUACACAUGUCUACCAUUGAUGGCAACUCCUAACAAUUGCUUAUCAUUGACGUAUGCAGAUGGUUCAAACACGUGGCGGGGGUAACAGCAACCCGGGUCUUGGAGCGGGUACGUCCGGAGGUGGGGCUCAACGGAAUGAGGACAGAGCACCAUCACCGCCACCACCACCUCCUCCGUACACUACGGACGUGUUUUUCGCGUAGUUUCUGGGAAGCCAACGCAACAUGGAACAAAUGCAGCGCAACCUGGAAGAAGCUCUGCGCAACAUAGCUGGCAACACCCGUUGUCGGGAUAACCAGGGCGGCCGUGAAGUCAAUCAGUACAGCUCUUUCAAGGACUUCAUAGAUACCAAGCCACCAGUCUUUAAGGAGGCUUUGGAGCCGCUCGAGGCAGAUGAGUGGAUCAAUACCAUGGAGCAGAAGUUCUGUCUUCUUCGGAUGACAGAAGAACUCAAGGCUAAGUACGCAGCACACCAGCUUCAAGGACCCGCUGGAAUUUGGUGGUCCCAUCACCGUACUACCUACCCAGAGGGGACCCCAAUCACCUGGAACCGCUUCACCACCGCUUUCUGGGGAAAUUACAUUCCUCCGGGUGUGGUCGAAAUGAAGGUUGGGGAGUUCAUGAGGCUGUCCUAGGGGACGAAAUCAGUGAAAGAAUAUCUACACGCUUUCAACAAUCUCGCUCGCUACGCCCCUAAGUUCGUGAACACGGAGGCCAAGAAGAUUGCUAGUUUUCAGAGAGGAUUGAACCCAAAGAUGCUGAAGACCAUGGGUACAGGGACCCGGGCUACCUUCAAUGCUUACAUCAGUGACUGUCUAACCCAAGAAAACAAUAACAACAACUACAGUGCAUCCAAGUCACGUAAGAGGGCUUUUGAAGCCGGAUCAUCCCAGCCUAGGGCACCAGUGGCGGGGCGACAACAGUAUCGUCCUCCUGCCCCAGGUGCUAGGUUCAGACCGCCGCAGAGAAGGAACACCGGACAUCCAACGCAGCAGAAGCCGUACAAGGUGGCGAUAGCUCCUGCCAAGCCAAAGGCAAUUCAAGCUGCAGCACCUGCCGCCAACAAUGCGCCCAAGGGUCCGUGCUACAACUGCCACAAGAUGGGGCACUUUGCUAAGGAAUGUCCCUUCCCCAAGAGGCAGCAGCCAACCUAUCCAGCUUGUGUGCACCAUACCUCGAUCGAGGAGAUCCCGGAAGGAGAACCGGUAACAGCUGGUAUGUUUCCUGUCAACCAACAUCUUGCAGUUGUUUUGUUUGAUUCUGGAUCAUCGCAUUCAUUCAUGAGCCAAGCAUUUGCACAAAAGCAUGACCAGCCAGUUACUGAGUUGGGUUAUGGCUAUCGCAUCAGCUCAGCCGGGGCUGAUGUGUUGACUAACAAAACAGUAACAGGAGUUACCUUGGAUAUCAGUGGCCGAAGGUUUCGUGUAAACCUUGUGGUCAUGCCAGGGCUGGUUUUGGAUGUCAUCAUUGGAAUGAAUAAGAUGACCGACUGGGGUGCAGUUAUAGAUGCUUGGAAUAGAACUCUUUCCCUCAAAGACCCGUAGGGGGAAGGUCUGCUUCAGGUCAGGCUACCCCGACGGUUAGACUUUGCUAGUCUUUCAUGUGCAGUACAGGUGGUUCCACUAGAACACAUACCCAUGGUAUGUGAGUUCCCUGAUGUUUUUCCUGAGGAAUUGCCAGGACUUCCUCCAGAUAGGGAAGUAGAGUUUGCAAUCGAGUUGAUACCAGGUACAGCACCAAAAUCUAGAAGGCCGUACCGGAUGCCACCAAACGAACUCACUGAGUUGAAGAAUCAACUAAAGGAGUUACUGGAUAAAGGGUUCAUCCGGCCAAGUUCAUCGGAAUGGGGUUGUCCACCGUUGUUUGUGAAAAAGAAGGAUCAAUCGUUGCGCAUGUGCGUGGACUAUCGUCCACUCAAUGCAGUGACAAUCAAGAAUAAGUACCCCUUGCCAAGGAUCGAUAUAUUAUUUGAUCAGUUGUCCAAGGCAAAAGUGUUUUCCAAGAUAGAUUUGAGAUCUGGGUAUCACCAAAUCAAGAUUCGUCCGCAAGAUAUCCCGAAGACUGCUUUUUCCACCAGAUAUGGGUUGUAUGAGUAUCUGGUCAUGUCCUUUGGGUUGACAAAUGCUCCUGCAUACUUUAUGUAUUUGAUGAAUUCAGUCUUUAUGCCAGAAUUAGAUAAGUUUGUUGUGGUGUUUAUCGAUGAUAUCCUGGUUUAUUCAGAAAAUGAGCAAGAUCACGCCGAGCAUCUGAGAAUUGUGUUAACACGAUUACGAGAGCAUCAGUUAUAUGCCAAGUUCAGCAAGUGUGAGUUCUGGAUGAAGAAAGUUCCUUUCCUAGGGCACAUUCUGUCUGAAGAAGGGAUUGUUGUGGAUCCGUCAAAAGUGCAGGAAGUUAUGGACUAGAAGGCACCAACUUCUGUCUCGGAAGUUAGAAGUUUUCUUGGUCUGGCCGGGUAUUAUCGUCCUUUCAUACCUGACUUCUCCAAGAUUGCUAAGCCAAUGACAAGUUUGCUACAAAAGGAUCAUAAGUUUUUCUAGACGGAGGGGUGUGAGCUAGCCUUCCGCACCUUGCAAAAGUUGCUAACCACUGCUCCCGUUCUGGCGCAACCCAAUAUCGAAAAGCCUUUUGAUGUGUUUUGCGACGCGUCAAAAAGUGGCUUGGGGUGUGUGUUGAUGCAAGAUGGCAGGGUGAUAGCUUAUGCUUCAUGACAGUUGAGAAAGCACGAAGUCAACUACCCAACUCACGACCUCGAGUUAGCAGCAGUAGUGCACGCUUUGAGGAUUUGGAGACACUAUCUGCUAGGAAAUAAGUGUCAUAUUUAUACCGAUCAUAAGAGUUUGAAGUACAUCGUCACUCAGUCCGAGCUGAAUAUGAGGCAACGACGGUGGUUAGAGUUAAUCAAGGACUAUGAUUUGGAAGUUCACUGUCAUCCAGGCAAAGCUAAUGUAGUAGCAGACGCUCUGAGUCAUAAACCGCACUAUCAAGUGGUUCAACCGUUGUUUGAAGAUGGUUUUAACCUCAUGCAUCCUGAAGUCUUAUGCCACAUACAGCUCAGUUGCUCACUUGAGAGUCAAGUCAUCGAGGGUCAGAAGACAGACAAGGGUAUUUUCCACAUCAAGGAGAAAAUCAAAGAUGACCCAAAAACUCAGUUUCGAGUUGAUGAGAAAGGGGUACUGUGGUUUCAACAUCGGUUAGUAGUCCCGAAGGAUCGGGAAUUGAAGAAUCGCGUCAUGGAUGAAGCCCAUCUCUCUAAGCUUUCUAUUCAUCAUGGCAGUAGUAAAAUAUAUCAAGACCUAAGACCCCACUUUUGGUGGACCAAGAUGAAGAAAGAAAUAGCCGCAUAUGUGGCCCGUUGUGACACGUGUUGCAGAGUUAAGGCCAUCCAUAUGAAACCUGCAGGUCUGUUGCAACCGUUAUCAGUUCCAUAGUGGAAAUGGGAAGAGGUCAGCAUGGACUUUAUCACAGGUUUACCAACCACGAGGAAGGGGAAUGACUCGAUUUGGGUAAUCAUAGAUCGAUUGACCAAGUCGGCUCAUUUCAUUUCAGUUAAGAACACAUAUAGACCUCCCGAGUAUGCCGAUAUAUAUAUGGCUGAGAUUGUCAAGUUGCAUGGUAUUCCCAAGACCAUCAUAUCAGAUAGAGGACCACAGUUCACCGCUCACUUCUGGGAGCGAAUGCAUAAGAAUUUGGGGACCAGUCUGAUAAGAAGCACGGCGUACCAUCCCCAGACCUCAGGUCAAACUGAGAGGCUAAAUCAAGUAUUAGAAGAUAUGCCGAGGGCCUGUGUGCUAUCGUCCAAGGGAUCAUGGGAGUCAUGGAUACCUCUGGCUGAAUUCUCAUACAAUAACAGCUACCAAGAGAGUAUCAAGAUGGCCCCGUUCGAAGCUUUGUGUGGUCGAAGGUGUAGAACUCCGUUAAAUUGGGAUGAACCUGGUGAAAGGAGAUACUAUGGUAUCGACUUCGUGAAUGAAGCAGAGAAAAAAGGUGCAAAUCAUACAGCAGCAUAUGCGGGCAGCCCAAUCGCGACAAAAGAGUUAUGCUGAUAAGAGAAGAAGACCACUUGAAUUCAAAGUAGGUGACUAUGUGUACCUCAAGGUUACGCCAAUGAAGAAAGUUCAACGUUUCCGAGUUCGACGCAAGCUUGCACCCCGAUAUGUGGGACCGUAACAAAUACUGGAGAGGAAAGGCCCCGUGGCCUACAAGAUUCAGUUACCUGAAGAGUUGAGCUCGAUCUUUCCGGUCUUCCAUGUGUCGCAGCUACGAAAAUGUUUGAAAGUACCUGAGCAGAGGAUUGAACCUCGAGGGAUCAAAAUAAAAGCAGACUUAUAGUAUAAAGAGCAGCCAGUGGGAAUUGUGGAUACCAAGGAACGAGUGACCCGAAACAGAGUUGUCAGAACAUACAAGGUGGUGUGGAGUCAUCAUGACGAUAGGGAUGCCACCUGGGAAACCGAGGAUUACCUGAAAACAGUUUAUCCAAAAUUUCAUAAGAAAUGGUUAGUAACCCAAAAUCUCGGGACGAGAUUUCCCUAAGGGGGGAAGGGCUGUAACACCCUAGGUGUUAAGCAUACACUUAGUCUUACCAAAGCAAUGCAUAAGCAUUCUCAUCAAGCAUAGCAUCAUGAGCAUGUCAUUCAUCCCAAAAUAUGAUUUUAUGUGUUUUAUUCCAUGUGCUUUAAAUAUGUUAAAAAUAUGAUGCUUGCUUCUAAAAAUGUGAAAUAUUCAAACUAGGUUGAAUUGUGUGCAAGAAGAUUUAAGAAUAUUUUUUGUGCAAUUUUUGGAGCAAUAGAAUUUGAGAAAUGGAAUUUAUACAAAAUCCCCAAAAUGAGUUUAUUUGAAAACCUAGAACUAGUUUUAAUUUGUAAUUCAAAUUCUACUUGGAAUUUGGUCUUGCUUAUUAAAACAAAGUUGUAGGGUUUUUAUUUUAGAACAACUUUGCUUUAGGGAGAAAGAGGUGAAAAUGAUUUUUAAAUUGGUCCAAAUGAAUUUAGAAAAGAAUUUGAGAAAAGAAAUUCAAAAAAAAAUGGAAAAGGGGCAGGCGCUGCUGGGCCAACCCCGCCUCCCUUUGGGGCCACGCAGCGGCCCGGCCUGUGUCCCCCUCCCCCUCUCUCCCGCGCGCGGACGCCCGCCUCGUCUCAGCCAGCGAUGGCCACGUGGCGGCCGUACGCCGGCGAUGGGCGCGCCGCAGCCGACCGGCUUCACCUGGUCGGGACGCCGGCCCGAGCUCCCAGGCCGCUCCAUUCGUUCUGUCGCCCGCGCCCCUCCCUCCUCCCUCCGCUCGCGAGUGCAACCGAAGCCGUAGGUGCUCCGCCGCAGCGACAUCGCCGGAGCAGCUCCGCUGCUCACCGCCGGCCACGCCAGUGCCCCAACCUCGACGCCGAAACCACCAGAGCACUCACCGUCAUCGCGGUAAGCUCCUGCGAACGUUUUACCGAGGUGAGAGCCCGUCGAGUGCCGUGAAUCACUCGUCGGAGUUGCUCCGACCUCGCCGGAGAGCUCCACCGCGUCGAAUCUCGUUCGUUUUCGCCUCGUUUCGCUUGCUUUUUGGCGCUUUAGAUGCGUAGUUCGACGAGGAAGCUCGGAGGAGCCCUUGCGCGUGUUCUACCGCACCGGAGCAGCCUGUCCACGGCGAGCAGCGCCGCCGUGCCGCCAUGCAUGCUCGUCGGAGGUGCUUCGGACAUCCUCCGGCCAAUCCGAGGGUACCGCUGGGUGCGCCUCGCUGCGGGAAGCACGAUGGUGCUCACCCCGUGGCCGGGAACCUCACCGCCGGCGAGAUCUGCUCGUCGGAGGUGCCCUCCCUCUCGGUCUCGCUGACCAGUGGGGUCAGAGGCCCACUGUCAGUCGCAGGGGGACCGCGUUGGGUGUAGAUCUGGGUGUCUUUAGCAUUUUUGAUCCCGAUUUCGAUUUGAUUUUCAGAAAAUGUUUUCCAGAAAUCGAUUUAAAACUUGUAAAAUCCAUAUCUUGAGUUCUACAGCUCCAAAUCUGAUGAAAUAAAUUUUGGUGUGCUCUCUAUUUUCAGAUCUACAGUUUCAUGUAAUUGCAUGUCAUGUUUAAACAAUUUUUCUGGACAGAAAUAAUUAAUCCAUGCUUUUGCUAAACUUAGAAAAUGCAUAGUAAUUAAAAUAUGGCUCAGAAAAAUGUGAAACUUGAUUUGUUGGCUCUGCAUGUAUGUUAACUCACUGGGAAAAUAUUGCUACACAUUAUUUGGUGUAUAAAUGAAUUUAUAGUGAUUUAAAUGCUUGCAUGGCAGUGGUUUAUGAUUUUUAAUAAAAAUUUGGAUCAUGCAAUUAAUCUGGAAAUUUUUGUGGAUGUUUCUUAUGAUAUUAGACAAAUUGUAAAAAUAUGAAAUUUGCUGUUUGACACUUAUACCACAGUAGAGUAAUUGUAUUUGCCUUUAUGUAAUAAUCUUGUGAUUUUUGUAGCUCAAAAUAAGUAUCCAAGAAUUAUGAAAAAUUUAUAGUAGACUUUAUGCUUGACUGGUAGUCUCCUAUAAUUUUUGUGGAAUCUAUAGAUGAACUGAACUGCAUUCAAAUUUUGAUGGGCCUAGAAAUGAAUAAAGAAAAUUAUGAAUUGUUAUAUAUGGGUUAAAUAGAAUAAAAAGGGGUUUGUUGUAUCUUUGAAGCAUCAUGUGGGUUGCUGGUUACACUUGAAAACAAUUUGUAGAAGAGAAUGCAAUAGAUGUUAAAUUCAAUUGUCUGUUCUUGGAUGAUGUUGACUACCGUGUAAUGAGCAUGACCAAGUAGAUCACCUAUGCAUCAUGUCAUGAUCAUUUGGUACCUUCUCAUACAAGCAUCCACUCGAGCAUCUCGCACUCCACUCAUGAGCACACAUGCAUCAUACAGGCUCGUAGGAGAACGUGGUGGGACCCGAGGAGCCAGAGGAGAUUCAGGAGCAGGAACCACCGGAAGCACCAGAACCCGGAGAGGAGCUACAGGAGUGUCCGGAUCACCGGCCUAGCACGUUUGAUAAAGGCAAGCCCCGGAGCAUUCUAAGUCUCCCUAUUCUCGCUAACUUACAUGAUAUACUAUACUUGUUCCACUAUACUGCAUUUAAGUGAUAGGAAUUGCUUGAUACCGUUGAUGCAUAUGUACUCCUUGUUAUCCCUACUCGUUUAUCUACCUUGUCCUAUGUAGAUAGGCACGGAGUCUAUGCUUAGCUUGCUUAGUCCGGUAGAAGUCGGGUGAUUCCCUGUCACCUGCGAGAUAUUGGUGGAUACCUGCUUGAUUAAGCAGUGGUUGCUUUGGGAAAAGAAUAACCAAGUGUGGAAUGGAAUUGGAGACCGGGCAGGGUCUUAUGGUGGGUUGACCAUAGUGCCCCUGCCUGUGUCGAUUAAGGACCGAUCGUUGACGGCCCUCUUGUCAUGUUGAACGCAUGCCCCACAUUUAGCUGGAAGGAUAAGUCGUUCCGACCGCGAAGCCUGAGCACUAUCCGGGCCAGGAAUCGGCCCGAUGUACGCGCUGUAUUGGUGAUGGUUGAGGAGAACGACGAGGGCGCGACGCGCAACCUUGGUAUACCUUGGAUACCUCGAACGCCGGAACGGUCCUCGGGUACGGGCGGUGCCUGUCGAACCCGCGAAUUGGUCCUAGAUAGUGCAAUACGGUGACCUGUAGCUCACUUGAUCAGUGAGUGUGGUUUGUGUGGGGAAUAAACUCGCCAGCUGGUUAGAAAUCGAUUCGAAUCGCCAUCGCUCCUGGAUAGUGAGCACUUGACAUGAGCUUCGUCCUCGUAGUAAGGACUAUGGAACACUUGGGUUAUAUUGAUAAAUGGUUUUGAGAAUGCUAUGAUGAGGUACUAUCAUAUCACUAUACUUGCUUGUAAUAGUGCAGGUGCAAACCUAGAUAAUAGGUAAUGAUACUUUCAACUUGAGCAAAUUAAAAGAAGAAAGAUUUAUGUAGAUUAUGAUAAUAGAAUCCUGCGGUUAUGCAAAAUGGUUGUCAGCUACCCCACUAUAUAGCCUUCAUGAUCCUUGAAGAGUCUUUAUUUUAAGUUUAUGACGGGUAAGUCUAGCAGAGUACAUUCGCGUACUCAGGGUUCUACUCCCAUGUUGUUUUGCAGAUGGUCAAAUGUACUAUGGUUAUUGCGUCCUCUGUCUGUACCCAGCCAUGGGUGAUGACUAGACCAAGGGCGAUGGUCACUCCGUCUUCUCUUUUGCUUUUGUGGGAAUGACCGAACUAUGGCACUGUAUCAGACUCAGUGUGUGUGUGGUAUUUUCGAACUAUGAAGCUUCCGCUAUUUGAAGAACUUGGUUUGUAAUAAUUUUAAGAACUCCGAUGUAUUUUAAGAAUGUUGAAAUCUAGAUGUACUUGUGGAUGGCGACCGCUGUACGAUAUGUGGUUUGAAAUCCUUCGAGAUUUCACGGACUACCGGGAUUAUAUGGGCUUAAGCUCGAUGGUUUGACUAUGCAAAUGGUCACUGUUAGGCUUAGUCUCUUAUAAUUUGGUCGGUUCUGUUACAACAUCGACCAGGGCUCAGGCACCGGCUACCGUCGAAUACGGAAACAGGCUCGUAUGAAUCGGGAGGCCUCGAGCGCAAGGACGCCGCCCGCCGCCUGACGCGGGCACGGGGACCAGGGCAUUUAAUGCGCCUGCCGCAUUCUCACCUAACCCGUCAGUCACAGCGUGAUAGGGAACAAGCAUCCGUCCCGUCGUUCCUUUUGCAGCCUUCCCCGCCAAACGAGCUAGAACGUGGCAGGUCGCAGGGAAUGGGUCGGAAUGUCUAAUCAAGACCCCCCUCGAGACGCCCAAGGUUAGCGCUCUGGCCGGCAAGGCACUAUAUGGCACUUGACCCUUGAAUAGGCACGUUUGCUUCCUAGAGAAGGCUCGGGCGACGAAUGACAGCACUACAACCACUCCGACGUAGCUGCUGCCACGACGUACAAGCGUGCAACAGAUAAACUAGUCUAGAACGGCGCGCAGGAGCAGGAUUCAGGGGCAUGCACAAUCAUUAUCAAGGUACCAAGACAAGAUGGCUCGAGGCCACACCGGUACGGAGACCUCGAGUAGGUUAGCGCGCUGCACCCCUAUCGACCCCUAUUCUGUUGCCUAUGCAUGUAACCUAGGCCUCCCCUUGGAACUAUAAAAGGGGAAGCCCAGGAGCGGAUAUGGAGGGGACACGUAGUAGAGCUUCCAUACCCCAUCUCAUGCCUGUAUUCACCCCUGUACAAGCACUUAGGUGCAAGAUAAUAGAAACUCUCCCCCACCGCUGGAUGUAGGGCCUUCUCUUGCCCGAACCAGGAUAAAUCUUUGUGUCUUUUCUUGCAUCAACAUCUAGAAAGGGGAGCACGCACUAGUUUUACUCGUUCGUGUGACCCCCCGUGGGGAAAACACCGACAAUUUUUUCCCAAUUGUACCAUCUUGCUAUUAAGGCAGAACAUGAAGUAUAGGGACGCAAGCAAUACCAGUCUUUUAGGUCUAACAAUAGGAUCAAUUUUUAGCAGCGUUACGAGCUGGAGACACCCAAGAAUUCUAUUGCACCAUAGCCAUCUACACCUGCAUUUUCUUCUGGGAUAUGUAAAUUAUCUAAUGUGCAGCCCGUAUAGCUGAAGAAAGGUGCCACUCCACGUACUUCCACUAGCUCCUCCUCGCCCAACAUUGAAAAUCAUUUGCCAUCGAUGCAACGACAUGGGACAUGUCAUGAAGGAUUGCACAGUCAUCGCACUUUCAUUGAUAUCGAGGAUGGAUAUGUAGGUGCUAGUGAUGUUGAAGAUGAUUUAGCUCUUGCUGCUAACAUUGCUAUAGAUUCCACCGAGGGUGAACAAGACACGGAGACCAUUGCCAUUGACUCUGUGGCUGCCUCCGUGGGCUAUCCUAGCCUUCUUGUGUAGCGUGUGUUGAGUUCACGUGUGGGACAUGAAGAAGAGAAGCAGAUCUAGUGCCACAAUUUGUUCCAGAUGUAUCUCACUGUGUAGGGUUGUCGUGUUCUCACCAUCAUUGAUAGCAGGAGUUCCAACAAAUUGGUGAGAUCAGAUUUGGUUGUGAAGCUUGGCUUUCCCACACAACAAUUUGAAGGAUCAAGAAGAACCAACAGGCAGAAGGACGUUCUAUCCCUUGUUGGGGUGUUGUCUACAACAGUCAGAUUGCUAUCUCAACACCAACCAUCCCUUACACUCUGGGAGGACUAGUAUACCUUCACUGCCAGUGAGCAACACCAACAGACUACUUCAACAUCCAGCUUGGGGGAGAGCACCCCCAUUUAUCCAGCUAAGUAUCACUCACUUAUAUAUUUAUUAAGUGUGCUAUGUUAAUCUGAAACAAAUAAAAAGAUGCAUAACUAUAUAAACCCAAAUAAAGAUUUCCCUAUUUAUUUAUAUCGAUAUCUAUCUUUCUAUUUGAUAUUAAGUUUGCUAAAUAAAAUUUAGGAGAGUAUUGGAAUAAAUUGCCGGCUAAAAUAAACCAAUAAAAUAAUCUCUUAUAUGGAAACGAUGAAGUUAUAUGAAUAGGUAGACUAUCCCAAGUGGUCAAUUAUAGUAGAGAAAACGUCCCCCGCUGAGUAGUCUAACCAUUGUGUAACCAUGUGUACCUAGGAAAUUGUACACAAGAAUUAGCCUCCAUCAAAAUCAAUGGCUCACAAAAGAACUACGUCAGAUCCAAGCGCUGAGAGACAAAGUUUGAUGCAGGCUUCUCACACCCGCACCUCACCCUUGCCAGGAACGAUCUGGAGAUCACGCAAGGAUAAAAAAACAAAUCCACGCCUGCUGUUCGAUAGAUCUCCGCCUCCAACCCAAAAUCAAAAAAAAAAUCACGCAAACUGCCACACAUCUCCGCCUCUAACGCACUGGCCGCCCAGGCAAAAUUAUAAUUUGAUCUUUGUCAAAGAUCUCCGCCGGCAACCGAUCUCCGCCGGCAACUACAAAACACUGCCAGCGGCCUGCCAAUCGCCCACGCCGACAAUCCCAGUCCAUCGCCCGCUCGCGUGGCUGAUGGCAGCUGCAUCCAGGACCUGCUGGAUGCCGACGCCUGCACCUAGGGCUUCCUUACAAUAAGAAGAACAGGACCUGUACAUCGUCGACUGCUACCUCGGCGUGAUCAAGGUCGGCACCGAGGGCGACCAGACCACGCCGCUCCCCAUCCCAUCAGUACCUCUGCGAUGCCAUGCCAUGCACCGCGCGCGGACGCCGUCGCCCGACACGGCCUCCUCCCCGUGCUCUCCUCUCCGGCUGCUAGCCAUCGAGUAACCCGACGUAGCUGAGGUAAACCCAAAUAAAGCUCUUACAACCUGAUCGGCCGAUCAUGUUUAUCUAAGGCACUUUAUUUAUCUGACCAUAUUCUGUUGUGUAUGCAGUGUUUGCAAGCAUUUGAGAAGAUAUCACGGAUCCAACCUACCCAGUGCUUGCAGGCGGGCAGGCAUGAUCAACGUUGUGCUGGCAUUCAUUGACCUCUUCGAUAUAUACAAGUAUUCAAGUUAGAAUUAAUGUUAAAGAAAUCACCUUUAAAACUGAGAAUUUAAUACAAUUGCUAAUUUGAUGCCCACUUUCAGGAUUAUAUGGUUUCAACCAAAAAAAUUAAUUAGAUGGUCGUUAGCUUGAUUACUUCACCUUGUUUACCUUCACUAAUAAUUGAUAAUUGAUGUUCCGCAACAUAUAUUAUUAUUUAAUCGAUUAUGCUAUAUAUAAAAAGAUAUAUUAUGAGGUGAUGAUAUGUCGGAUCUCUUCGGCAUAGUAUUAUGAUCAACUAACGUCUUCUUGCAUAACAAAUCAGCAGCCUCUACUUGAUACACUGACUCCAUGUCUACGCCGAGAAAUAUACGAGAUGCACUAAGUGAUAUCACCAGUAUCGCAGGUAUGAUUUCGCAUUGUUUAGAUAUAAUAACGCUUUGGGGUGUUUUAUUAAUUUGGUAUACAUGUCCAAACGGCACAAAUAUAAAGAUGAGGCCCGGCGGACGAGGGAACGGAUUCGUCGAGCUGAGAUGUCUGACGAACAAAGGGAGGAGGUCAGGAGGAAACAACGUGAGUACCAACGUCAGUACCGAAAAAGGAAGAAGGCCAUGUCCCAAAGCAGUAGCGCUGACCCGAGUAUAAUUUAAAAACUUUUAGUUAGCCUUUUAUAUAGUCAAUCCAACUUUUAUAUGGCUGACCAAAAAUGAACAGGUGCUAAUCUCUCAGAGAUGGACCAGAAUUCGCCCUAUUUAUUGGGCAAUGAAAAUAUCCGGCCAAGUGGUAAAUAUCAUAUACAUAACUUCAUGUUUAUUUAUUUUAAACAAAAAUAUUGAUUUUAAACUCUAUCUAUAUAUCAAACAAAAAUAUUGAUUUUAAACUCUACUAUCUAUAUAUGACUUGCCGCACAAACAAAACCCUGCAGAUAUUUCUAACACUACAGGUAAUAAUUUAAAAACUUUUUUAUUAAUAUUAGUUAGCCUUUUAUAUAGUCAAUCCAACUUUUAUAUGGCUGAUCGAAAAUGAACAGGUGCUAAUCUCUCCGAGAUGGACCAGAAUUCAGGCAAUGAAAAUAUCCGACCAAGUGGUAAAUAUCAUAUACAUAACUUCAUGUUUAUUUAUUUUAAACAAAAAUAUUGAUUUUAAACUCUAUCUAUAUAUCAAACAAAAAUAUUGAUUUUAAACUCUACUAUCUAUAUAUGACUUGCCGCACAAACAAAACCCUGCAGAUAUUUCUAACACUACAGGUAAUAAUUUAAAAACUUUUUUAUUAAUAUUAGUUAGCCUUUUAUAUAGUCAAUCCAACUUUUAUAUGGCUGAUCGAAAAUGAACAGGUGCUAAUCUCUCCGAGAUGGACCAGAAUUCAGGCAAUGAAAAUAUCCGACCAAGUGGUAAAUAUCAUAUACAUAACUUCAUGUUUAUUUAUUUUAAACAAAAAUAUUGAUUUUAAACUCUAUCUAUAUAUCAAACAAAAAUAUUCAUUUUAAACUCUACUAUCUAUAUAUGACUUGCCGCACAAACGAAACCCUGCAGAUAUUUCUAACACUGCAAUGGACGGAAGGAAUGCACAACAACGGAAACGAAGAGCUGAGAUGACGGAUGAGCAGAGAGAAGAUAAUAAAAGGAGACACCGUGAGUACCAGCGUCAAUAUCGAGCACGGAAAAAAGUUGAGUUGAAAAAUAGUACCACCACAACUAUUCUCAGCCAAAUAGUGCCGACAUCCUCGCCCGCAGGUGAACAAACUUCAAGCCCUUGUGUUUGCCGGCCCAACCCCUAUAUAACAUGAACCUCAAAUCAUAUUCACAUGUGAAGGUGUGGAUUUUGAAACUGGAUUAUCAGCAAUAGUGGAAAAUGAUGAACCCGAUGAACCCACAGAUUGGCUACAUAGAAAUGAUAAUUAUAUUCCAGAACGUACAGGCCCACGUACGGUCCUUACUGGUCCAUUGCCUACUUUUGGUCAAACAGGUGAGCACAAGAACCUUGUGCUACUUUUAAAUAAAAAAAUAUUUUAUAAGUAAAGUCAUUUAUUAGUAUAUUCUUCUGUACUUAUUUAUUUAUUUUUUAAAAAAUUGCAGAAGUCCUUAGUGGUCCAUUGCCUACUUCAGUUCAAUCAGGUGAGAACAAGAACCUCAUGCUACUUUUAAAAUAAGAAAAACUCAUUUUUAAGUAUGCUAUGGUACUUACUUUUUUUAUUAUUUUUUUGCAGAAGUGAAUAUACUAGAUCGGUGCCACAACCAUGUAGAUGUCCAAACCAAUGAAGAUGAAUUUGACCGUGAACUAUAUGAACCGACGCAUGAUGGUUGGGAUGGCGAUGGACAUGCCAUGGACGGCGACCAUGGUUUGCACAAUGAUAACUUAUAUGAUGACGAUGGACAAGGUACUACGAUAACAACUAUAUAUAAGAAUAUUAUAACUCCAGCUUCAGUGGACCAUACUUAUCUCUACUAAAUUAAUAUUAUUACUAAUAUGUCUACACAGGUCAUCAUUACGAGUCAUAUCGCGUGCUUCCAAAGGGUCCUGCUGAAAACAGUGUGACGGAUGAUGAUCCAUAUGAGUUUAUCUACCAGAACCUGCCACAAAGACAUAAAUUGAGACAAGUGUCUGACUGCAGUUACUGUGGUGCGAUCAGGUUUCAGUACGAGACACCCGGGUUUUGUUGUCGAAAAGGAAAAGUACAAAUACAUAUUCCAGAGGUUCCUACAGAACUGAAAAGGUUAUUCACAAGUCAAGUGCAUGAUGAUGCAAAAUAUUUUAGGAAAAAUAUACGCUAUAUCAACUCACAUUUUGCCUUCGCAAGCCUAGGGGUUACCCUUGAUCGCAGAUAUAACAGUCCACGAGGGACCGGUAUUUAUAUAUUUCGAGUUCAUGGCGGGUUGUACCAUCGUCUGGACCACCUGGUGCCAGGUGGCGACAACGCUCGACAUCUACAGCUUUACUUCUAUGAUACAGAAGAUGAGGCCUUGUCACAUAGAGCCAAGAGGUCUCCUGAUCUUGAUAUUAAUCUCAUCCGGAAUAUCCUUGCAAUUCUUCAUGAUAACCCAUAUGUUCAUACUUUCAAGAGAAAUGGUGCUUUUCCAAACUUGGAUGAUUACCGGAUUGAACUCAAUACAAACGUCACGCCUGAUCAGAGAAGGUACAAUGCCCCAACAACAUCCCAAGUUGCUGCUAUCUCUGGAUGGAAGGGAACGAUCCACAAAGGUGUUUUGAUAGGAGCGUGGUUGUAUAUGGCAAGACUGAUCAUCGUCCGCAGUAUAUCCGAGCAUACCAUGGUUGUUAUGACCCAUUAGCUUAUCCUAUAUAUAACCCACGAGGUGAAACAGGAUAGAACAAGUUCAUGCCGUACAGUGGGGUUCCACUAGUUCCAUCAUCCGCAACUCCGGCUUCUACUAAUAAUGUUAAUAACAGGGUUGAUGGGACUACUGGUGGUUAUCAAGGUACUAUCUCCUACUAAUAAUAUUUUUUACUGCUAUAAUACUGGUACUAUUUAAUUGCUGCUAUGAUACAAUAUAAUAAAAUGAUCUAAUAUUUUAUCUAUCUUGCAGCUGAUAAUAAUAAUGAAAAUCAAGUGGAAGAAGGUGACAAUGACAUUCAAGAAGGUGACAUGCUAAGUGGAGUUGCAGAUGUAGCACAGUCCACAAGAUAUGUAACUGCACGUGAAUACUACUGCUUCAAGUUGCAAGUUAGACGAGGCAUUUUUAACAUUAUAUUAUUUGGAGGACGUCUUUUCAAGCAAUGGGCUGUAGAUAUGUAUAUAAAGAUUGAGUCUAUGAGGCUAGAUUGGUACUCUAAUCCUGAUAACCAAAAGCUAAUACGGGCAGAGCUAUACCAGGUAACAACUCAUAUUAUUUUGUUUAUAUUUAUUAUUUUAUGAACUUUGCAACCAUAUUACUGCCUUGGGCUAAAACUAUAUGUGUUUAAAUGUAUUUUAGGGACUGGUUGAUGUUAUCUCUGCUGGAGAGACACAGGGUUCUAAAGUUGGCAAGAGAAUUGUGUUGCCAAGAUCAUUCCCAGGAUGUGAUCGAGACAUGCAACAAAGAUUCCUUAAUGCUAUGGCUAUUGUGCAGCGUUUUGGAAAGCCAGAUUACUUCAUCACCAUGACAUGCAAUCCAUACUGGGAAGAGAUAACAAGCAAUCUCGAACCGGGACAGGAACCACAAGAUAGGCCAGAACUUGUUGCAAGAGUGUAUAGGGCAAAGUUGCGAGAUCUAAAAGAUCUUCUGAUCAAGAAGAAGUAUUUUGGUGAUGUUGCUGCAUACGUCCAUGUUACAGAGUUCCAAAAGAGGGGGCUGCCACAUGAGCAUUUCUUGUUAAUCAUGAAGUCAGGGAGUAAGUUGACAACCCCAGAUGCAUAUGACCGUGUUAUUUCAGCAGAGAUACCAGACAAGGACAAAUAUCCAGAGUUGCAUGAUCUGGUAAUCAGUCAUAUGCUCCAUGGACCAUAUGGCGUGCUAAACAAAAAUUGUGCAUGCAUGGUGUAACAGAACCGACCAAAUUAUAAGAGAUUAAGCCUAAUAGUGACUAUUUGCAUAGUCGAACCAUCACGCUUAAGCCCAUAUAAUCCCGGUAGUCCGUGAAAUCUCGAUGGAUUUCAAACCACACAUCGCAUGUAGUCAAGAUCGUAAUAAGUUUAGCGGCCGCCAUCCAUAAGUACAUCCAAAUUACAACAUUCAUGAAACACAUCGGAGUACUUAAGUUAUUACAAACCAAGUUCUUCAAGUAGCGGAAGUUUCAUAGUUCGAAAUUACAACACACACGAUAAAUCUGAUACAGUGCUAUAGUUUGGUCAUUCCCACAAAAGCAAAGGAAGAGACGGAGUGACCAUCGCCCUUGGUCUAGUCAUCACCCAUAGCUGGGUACAGACAGAGGAUGCAAUAACCAUAGUACAUUUGACCAUCUGCAAAACAACAUGGGAAUAGGACCCUGAGUACGAGAAGGUACUCAGCUAGACUUACCCGUCAUAAACUUAAAAUAGAGACUCAUCAAGGAUCAUGAAGGCUAUUUGGUGGGGUAGCUGACAACCAUUUUGCAAAGACCGCAAGGUUUUAUUACCCGAACCUACAUAAAUCUUUUCUUCUUUUAACCUGCUCAAGUUGAAAGUAUCAUUAUCUAUUAUCUAGGUUUGCUCCUGUGCUAUUACAAGCAAGUAUGAGACUAUGAUAGUACCUCAUCACAGCAAUCAUAAACCCGUUUCAUUAUAACCCAAGUGUUCCAUAGUCCUUACUACGAGGACGAAGCUCAUGUCAAGUGCUCACUAUCCAGGAGCGAUGGCGAUUCGAAUCGAUUUCUAACCAGCUGGCGAGGUAUUCCCCACACAAACCACACUCACUGAUCAAGUGAGCUACAGAUCACCGUAUUACACUAUCCAGGACCAAUUCGCGGGUUCGGCAGGCACCGCCAGUACCCGAGGACCGUUCCGGCGACCGAGGUAUCCAUGGUAUACCAAGGUUGCGCGCCGCGCCCUCGUCGUUCUCCUCAACCACCACCAAUACAGCGCGUGGCGGCUCGAUUCCCGGCCCGGAUAGUGUUCAGGCUUCGCGGUCGGAACGACUUAUCCUUCCAGCUAAGUGUGGGGCAUGCGUUCAACAUGACAAGAGGGCCGUCAACGAUCGGUCCUUAAUCGACACAGGCAGGGGCACUAUGGGCAACCCACCAUAAGACCCUGCCCGGUCUCCAAUUACAUUCCACACUUGGUUAUUUCUUUCCCCAAGCAACCACUGCUUAAUCAAGCAGGUAUCCACCUAUAUCUCGCAGGUGACAGGACAUCACCCGACUUCUACCGGACUAAGCAAGCUAAGCAUAGACUCCGCGCCUAUCUACAUAGGACAAGGUAGAUAAACGAGUAGGGAUGACAAGGAGUACAUAUGCAGCAACGGUAUCAGGCAACUCCUACCACUUAAAUGCAGUAGUAGAACAAGUAUAGUGCAUCACAUAAGUUAGCGAGAAUAGGGAGACUUAGAAUGCUCCGGGGCUUGCCUUUCUCAAACGUGCUGGGUCGGUGAUUCGGACACUCCUGCAGUUCCUCUCCGGGUUCCUGUGCUUCCGGAGGUUCCUGCUCCUGAAGCUCCUCGGGUUCCUCGGUUCCCACCUCGUUCUCCUGCGAGCCUGUAUGAUGCAUAUAUGCUCAUGAGUGGAGUGCGAGAUGCCCGAGUGGAUGCUUAUAUGAGAGAGUACCAAAGGAGUCAUGUUAUGAUGCAUAGGUAAUGCACUUGGUCAUGCUUAUUACAAGGUAGUCAACAUCAUCCAAGAAUAAACAAUUGAAUCAAACAUCUAUUACAUUCUCUUCUAUAAUUAUUUUUCAAAUGCAACCAGCAACCUCCAUGAUGCUUCAAAGAUACACCAAACCCAACUUAUUCCAUUCAACCUAUAUAUACAACCAUUCAUAGUUUUCUUUAUUCAUUUCUAAGCCCAUUAAAAAUCACAUGCAAUUCUGUUCAUCAAUAAAUUCCACAAAAUUUACAGGAGACUACCAGCUAAGCAUAAAGUCUACUGUAAAUUUUUCAUGAUUUUUGGAUACUUAUUUUGAGCCACAAAAAUCACAAGAUUAAUUGAUAAGGCAAGUAAAAUCACUCUACUGGGAUACAAGUGUUAAACCACAGAUUUCAUAUUUUUACAAUUUGCAUAAUAUCAUAAGAAACACCCACAAAUUUUUCCAGAUUUAUUGCAUGACCCAUUUAAUUACUAAAAAUCAUAAAGUACUGCCAUGCAAGCAUUUAAAUUACCAUAAAUUCAUUUAUACACUAAAUAACAUGUACCCACUUUUUCCCAGUGAGCAAACACACAUGCAAAGCCAACAAAUCAAGUUUCACAUUUUUCUGAGCCAUAUUUCAUUUACUAUGCAUUUUCCAAGUUUAACAAAAUCAUGGAUAAAAUAUAUUCACACAGAAAAGUUGCUCCAACAUGACAUGCAAUUACAUCAAACUGGAGAUCUGGAAAUAUAGAGCACACCAAAAUUUAUUUCAUUCAAUUUGGAGCUGUAGAACUCAAGAUAUAGAUUUUACAACUUUAAAUCAAUUUCUGGAAAAUACUUUUUCAAGAAAACCGACGAAAAACGCUACGCACACCCAGAUCUACACCCACCGGGGUACCCCUGCGACUGACAGUGGGUCCCCGACCCCACCAGUCAGCGAGACAGAGAGGGAGCUCACCUCCGACGAGCGGAUCUCGCCGGCGGUGAGGUCUCCGGCCACGGGGUGAGCACCAACGUGCUCCCCGCAGCAAGACGCACCCAACGGUACCCUUGGAUCGACCAGAGGGCGGCCGGAACACCUCCGGCGAGCAUGCAUGGCGGCACGGCAGCGCUGCUCGCCGUGGCCAGGCUGCUCCGGCGCGGUAGAGCGUGCGCAAACGCCUCUCCGAGCUUCCUCACCUUCCUACCGACCUAGCGCAACAGAGAACGAGCGAAAAGACGCAGGGAAACGCUAGAUCCGUCGCGGCGGAGUACUCCGGCGAGCUUGGGGUAACUCCGGCGAGCGACUCACGGCGCUCGACGGACUCUCACCUCGGUUGAACGUUCGCACGAGCUUACCCUAGCGACGGCGAGUGCCCUGGUGCUCUCGGCGUCGAGCUUGAGGCUCUGGUGUGGCCGGCGACGAGCGGCGGAGCUCUCUCCAGCAAUGGCGCGCGGAGGAGCGGCUGCUGCUGCGCGGUGCGAGCGGAGGAGGAAGGAGAAGGAGGGCGCGGGGGACAGAACGGGCGAAAUGGUCUGGGAGCCUGCGCCGGCGUCCCGACCAGGGGGGGUUGGAGGCCGGCCGCGGCGCGUCCAACGCCGGCGUACGGCCGCCACGUGGCCGGCGCCGGGUGGAGCGAGGCGCGUCCGCGCGCGGGAGGGAGAGGGAGAGGGGAGGCAGGCCGGGUCGCUUGCUGGGCCGAAAGGGAAGCGGGGUUGGCCCAGCAGCGCCUGCCCCUUUCUCUUUUUUUUUUGAAUUUCUUUUCUCCAAAUUCUUUCUAAAUUCAUUUGGACCAAUUUAAAAUCAUUUUCACCUCUUGCUCCCAAAAACAAAGUUGUUCCAAAUUUAAAACUCUGCAACUUUGCUUUGACAAGCAAGACCAAAUUCCAAACAAAAUUUGAAUUACAAGUUAAAACUCAGCUCUAGGUUUUAAAUAAAUUCAUUUUGGAAAAGUUUGUAUAAAUUCCAUUUCUCAAAUUUCCAUAGCUCCAAAAAUUGCACAAAAAUGUUCUUAAUUCUUCUUACACAUAAAGCAACCUAAUUUGAAUAUUUCACAAUUUUAGAAACAAGCAUCACAUUUUUAACAUAAUUAAAGCACAGGAAAUGAAGCACAUAAAAUCAUAAUUUGAAAAGAGUGUCAUGCUCAUGAUGCUUAUGCUUGAUGGAAAUGCUUAUGCAUGACUUUGAUGAGACUAAGUGCAUGCUUAACACCUAGGGUGUUACAGCCCUUCCCCCCUUAGGGAAAUCUCGUCCCGAGAUUUUGGGUUACUAACCAUUUCUUAUGAAAUUUUGGAUAAACUGCUUUUAAGUAAUCCUCUGUUUCCCAAGUGGCAUCCCUAUCGUCAUAAUGACUCCACACCACUUUGUACGUUCUGACAACUUUGUUUCGGGUUACUCGCUCCUUGGUAUCCACGAUUCCCACUGGCUGCUCUUUAUACUCUAAGUGUGCUUUUAUUUUGAUCCCUCGAGGUUCAAUUCUUUGCUCAGGCACUUUCAAACAUUUCCGUAGUUGUGACACAUGGAAGACCGGAAAGAUCGAGCUCAUCUCUACAGGUAACUGAAUCUUAUAGGCCACUGGGCCUUUCCUCUCUAGCACUUGGUAUGGUCCCACAUAUCUGGGUGCAAGCUUGCUUCGAACUCGGAAACGUUGAACUUUCUUCAUUGGCGUAACCUUGAGGUACACAUAGUCACCUAUGUUGAAUUCAAGUGGCCUUCUUCUCUUAUCAGCAUAACUCUUCUGUCGUGACUGAGCUGCUUGCAUAUGUUGUUGUAUAAUCUGCACCUUUUUCUCGGCAUCAUUCACAAAGUCGAUACCAUAGUAUCUCCUUUCACCAGGUUCCACCCAGUUUAACGGAGUUCGACAUCUCCGCCCAUACAAAGCUUCGAACGGGGCCAUCUUGAUGCUCUCUUGAUAACUAUUAUUGUAUGAGAACUCAGCCAGAGGUAACCAUGAUUCCCACGAUCCCCUGGAUGAUAGCACACAGGCUCUCAGCAUAUCUUCUAACACUUGAUUUAGCCUCUCGGUUUGACCUGAAGUCUGGGGAUGAUACGCCGUGCUUCUUAUCAGACUGGUCCCCAAGAUCUUAUGCAUGCGCUCCCAGAAGUAAGCAGUGAACUGCGGUCCUCUAUACGAUAUGAUGGUUUUGGGAAUACCAUGCAAUUUGACGAUCUCAGCCAUAUAUAUAUCAGCAUACUCGGGAGGUCUGUAUGUGUUCUUGACUGGAAUGAAAUGAGCCGACUUGGUUAAUCGAUCUAUGAUUACCCAAAUCGAGUCAUUCCCCUUCCUGGUUGUCGGUAAGCCGGUGAUAAAGUCCAUACUGACCUCUUCCCAUUUCCACUCCGGAACUGAUAACGGUUGUAACAGACCUGCAGGUUUCAUAUGGAUGGCCUUAACUCUGCAACACGUGUCACAACGGGCCACAUAAGCGGCUAUUUCUUUCUUCAUCUUGGUCCACCAAAAGUGGGGCCUUAGAUCUUGAUACAUUUUGCUGCUGCCAGGAUGAAUAGAAAGCUUAGAGAGAUGGGCUUCAUCCAUGAUGUGAUUCUUCAACUCCCGAUCUUUCGGGACCACUAACCGCUGUUGAAACCACAGUACCCCCUUCUCAUCAACCCGAAACUGGGUCUUUGGGUCAUCUUUGAUCUUCUCUUUGAUGUGGAAAAUACCCUUGUCUGUUUUCUGACCUUCAAUGACUUGACUCUCGAGUGAACAACUGAGUUGUAUAUGACAUAAGACCUCAGGAUGCAUAAGAUUGAACCCAUCUUCAAACAACGGUUGAACCAUUUGAUAGUGUGGUUUGCGACUCAAAGCAUCUGCGACCACGUUAGCUUUGCCUGGAUGAUAGUGAACUUCCAGGUCAUAAUCCUUGAUUAGCUCUAACCACCGUCGUUGCCUCAUAUUCAGCUCGGACUGCGUGAAGAUGUACUUCAAGCUCUUAUGAUCGGUAUAAACGUGACACUUAUUUCCUAGCAGAUAAUGUCUCCAGAUCUUCAAAGCAUGUACCACUGCUGCUAACUCAAGGUCGUGCGUUGGAUAGUUGACUUCAUGCUUUCUCAACUGUCAGGAAGCAUAAGCGAUCACCCUGCCAUCUUGCAUCAACACACACCCCAGGCCACUCUUCGAUGCGUCACAAAACACAUCAAAAGGCUUCUCUAUAUUAGGUUGUGCCAGAACGGGAGCAGUGGUUAGCAACUUUCGCAAGGUGCGGAAGGCUAACUCACACCCUUCCGUCCAGACAAACUUAUGGUCCUUUUGUAGCAAACUUGUCAUUGGCUUAGCAAUCUUGGAGAAGUCAGGUAUGAAACGACGAUAAUACCCGGCCAGACCAAGAAAACUUCUAACUUCCGAGACAGAAGUUGGUGCCUUCCAGUCCAUGACUUCCUGCACUUUUGAUGGAUCCACGGCAAUCCCUUCUUCAGACGACAUGUGCCCUAGGAACGGAACUUUCUUCAACCAGAACUCACACUUGCUGAACUUGGCAUAUAACUGAUGCUCUCGUAAUCGUGUCAGCACGAUUCUCAGAUGUUCGGCGUGAUCUUGCUCAUUUUCUGAAUACACCAGGAUAUCAUCGAUAAACACUACAACAAACUUAUCCAAUUCAGGCAUAAAGACUGAAUUCAUCAGAUACAUAAAGUAUGCAGGAGCAUUUGUCAACCCAAAGGACAUGACAAGAUACUCAUACAACCCAUAUCUGGUGGAAAAAGCAGUCUUCGGGAUAUCUUGCGGACGAAUCUUGAUUUGGUGAUACCCAGAUCUCAAAUCUAUCUUAGAAAACACUCUUGCCUUGGAUAACUGAUCAAACAGGAUAUCAAUCCUAGGCAAGGGAUACUUAUUUUUGAUUGUCACUGCAUUGAGUGGACGAUAGUCCACGCACAUGCGCAACGACUGAUCCUUCUUUUUCACAAACAACGCUGGACAACCCCAUUCCGACGAGCUGGGCCGGAUGAACCCUUUUUCUAGUAACUCCUUCAGUUGUUUCUUCAACUCUGCGAGUUCGUUUGGUGGCAUCCGGUACGGCCUUCUAGAUAUUGGUGUUGUACCUGGUAUCAACUCGAUUACAAACUCUACUUCCCUAUCUGGGGGAAGCCCUGGUAACUCCUCGGGAAACACAUCGGGGAACUCACCGACUACUGGGAUCUGUGGUAAAGGGACCACGUGCGUAGCACAGGAGAUGCUAGCAAAGUCAAGACGACGGGGCAGAGGUACUUGAAAAGAGUUACUGCCCUGUGGUUCUCUGAGAGAUAACAUCCUCUUUCCAGUAUCUAUGACCGCAUCCCAUUCUCUCAUCCAGUUCAUGCCCAUGAUAACAUCCAAAACUAACCCAGGCAUGACCACUAGAUUUACCCGAAAGACUCGGCCACUUAUCUCCAGGGUUGCCCCUCGGACCACUCUAUUGGUCAACACAUCUGCCCCUGCUGAGCUGAUGCGGUAGCCAUAGCCCAGAUCUGUAACUGGUUGGUUAUGCUUUUGUGCAAAUGCUUGACUCAUGAAAGAAUGCGACGAUCCAGAAUCAAACAAAACAACUGCAAGAUGUUGGUUGACAGAAAACAUACCAGCUGUUACCGGUUCUCCUUCCGGGAUUUCCUCAAUCGAGGUAUGAUGCACACGAGCUGGAUAUGUUGGCUGCUGCCUCUUGGGGUAGGGACAUUCCUUAGCAAAGUGCCCCAUUUUGUGGCAGUUAUAGCACGGACCCUUGGGCGCAUUGUUGACGGCAGGUGCUGUAGCUUGAAUUGCCUUUGGCUUGGCAGGAGCUGUCGCCACCUUGUACGGCUUCUGCUGUGUUGGAUGCCCGGUGUUCCUUCUCUGCGGUGGUCGGAACCUAGCACCCGGGGCAGGAGGACGAUACUGCUGUCGCCCUGCCACUGGUGCCCUGGACUGGGAUGAUCCUGCUUCAAAAGCCCUUUUACGUGACUUGGAUGCACUGUAGUUGUUGUUAUUGUUCUCUUGGGUCAGACAGUCACUGAUAUAGGCAUUGAAAGUAGCCCUGGCCCCUGUACCCAUGGUCUUCAGCAUCUUUGGAUUCAAACCUCUCUGGAAACUAGCAAUCUUCUUAGUCUCCGUGUUCACAAACUCAGGGGCAUAGCGAGCGAGAUUGUUGAAAUCGUGUAGAUACUCCUUCACAGACUUCGUCCCUUGGGACAGCCUCAUGAACUCCCCAACCUUCAUUUCAACCACACCAGGAGGAAUGUAAUUUCCCCGGAAAAAGGUGGUGAAGCGGUUCCAGGUGAUUGGUGUCCCUUCUGGGUAGGUGGUACGGUGAUGGGACCACCAAAUCCCAGCAGGUCCUUGCAACUGAUGUGCCGCAUAUUCAGCCUUGAGUUCUUCUGUCAUCCGAAGAAGACGAAACUUCUGCUCCAUGGUAUUGAUCCAUUCAUCUGCCUCGAGGGGUUCCAAAGCCUCUUUGAAGAUUGGUGGCUUGGUAUCCAUGAAGUCCUUGAACGAACUGUACUGGUUGACCUCCCGGCCACCCUGAUUAUCCCCACGACGGGUGUUGUCAGCUAUGUUGCGCAAAGCUUCUUCCAUGUUGCGCUGCAUCUGUUCCAUGUUGCCUUGGCUUCCCAGAAACUGCGCGAAAAACACAUCCACAGUGUACGGGGGAGGCGGUGGUGGUGUUGGCGCUCGGUCCUCAUUCCGUUGAGCCCCACCUCCGGAGGUACCUGCUCCAAGGCCCGAAUUGCUGUUACCCCCGCCACGUGUUUUACCAUCUGCAUACGCCAAUGAUAAGCAAUCGUUAGGAGUUGCCAUCAACCGGUAGAAAAUGUGUAAAAUCGUGCCAUACUUAAUUUACUGAGGGAAUAAAUUCACACAAUAAACAAAGGCACAACAACUCAUCAUCCACGCACAACAUCACUAACAGAUUACUUAACAUUCACGCAACAAGGUUCGCGUACAUCCAACUUGCCAGCAUACAUACACUGGACUUUCAGCAUCAACUCAUAAAGUCUUACACAGCCCAGAUCCAAAUGUACAUGACAUGCCACGCAACAUACAUCACAAAAGAGGAAAGACUAGCUCUAGAGCCCUAGCAUCUAGUCGCUAUGGUCACUGUCCAUGCCGGAGCCAUCCUCAUCCUCAUCUCCACUAGCAGCUGCUCCUAUCUCGGGAUCCGCGUCCAUCUCAUCCUCAGAGUCUAGUUCCGCUGCUCCAGGCAGGUGGUGAGGAUGGAGCUGGUUAUGCAGCUGGUGGAUCUCCUCAUGCAAGUUCUCAUUGUACUCCUCGGCAUUAGCUAGCUGCUGCUCUAGCUCCAGCUGUCGGGCUCUCAAAGUGUCCUCCUCGUGCCAGGCUUCAUUCCUCUGUCCAAGCACAUGGACUAACAUGCGCUCGCAGUUCCUGUGAGCAGUAGUCACCCUGUCCUUCUGCUCCCGUACUGCAAGCAGGUCCUGACUCAGCUCACUGUUCUUCUGGACUGCCUGGUCUCUCUCUCUGGUCACACGAGCCAACUCUGCCUGUAGCCUCUCAACCUCAGAGUCAAACUCACGCUGCAACUGACGCUUCUCAUCCUGGACGGUGAGAAGAGACCCGGACAAGCGACCCAAACAACGCUCCAGGCCUCCAUAGGUCUUCAUCAACGCGUACAUGGCACUCAUAGCUGCACUGUCACUGUGCUGGUCCUCAUCCGCACUCCUCUCUAGAGCAUUCACCUCGGACUGAUCCCACACCGAAGUGUAAGGGUCACCCCGGGGAAACACCCCAGCGAAGGCGUGGGCCAGCUCCUGUGGAAACCUCUCCAUGAGGUCCCUCAAAACUGCGAAAGCUGCCCUGCUGGCACCGUGGAAAGGCGUGACACCUCGGGACUCGUACACCCAGCCGCCCCAAGCAGGGUCUCCUCCACUGGUAGGGACAACUGCCUCGAUCCCCACCAGGGUCUCGUCACCAAGCGGCUCCUUAUCCCAAUAGUAGCGAGGCUCCCUUCCUUCGGGAUACUCCAAAGCAAAGUGGGCAUCCCAAACUCCUCUAGGAACUUGCUCUUAUGUCGGGAGCUCCUAGCUGCCAACGGACGGCGAGGGGCCCGCCCACCAGUGGACUUGCGAGCGGUGAGCCUAGUGUGUGCCAUCUGCUGCAAAUGGAAUACCGUGGGUAAGAGCGAGGAUUACCUUUAAUUAUUUUAUUUAGAAUUGGGACAGAUUAAAUUAAGGGGGAAAGUAAGCAAUGAUAUGAAAUGAACAUGAUGCAUGCACGAACUUACGAUCUCACAAACUUAGAAAACAAAGGUUAACACUAAGCGGUAUAUGCGGUGGCACACAACGUUCUCCCAUAACGUAACUAGCGUUCUAAGCGAGAACGUGGUUAGGGUACCUGCAGAAAACUCAUUUCAGCCCACACAUAGUAUGAUCGUGCAGAAUAGGAAUUUAAAACUAGGCACUUCGCACACACAGACACCCGUCCAUGCAUGCGAUGUGUCACUACCCACAUCAUCGCCCUUUUGACGGCAUCGCCUCUCAGGACGGAAUUCCCAGCAUGCGGUACUGUUCCCAAGACACACCAACAUGUGUGCAUGACACAGCACCUGACAACACUUCCCUAGACCGGCAGUGUAUCCGAUCAUGCUCUCACAACUCCCACUUACCAUGGCGUAGAGGAAGAAUUGAUCCAUACAUUACCACUCAAAUGAAUGGCACUCAUACUAUUGCACGCCGUAUGAGCGACGAAAUAAAAAUAUGAUGCAUUAACCCCCAAGUCAGUACUUAGCUAGCCACCUUAGAGUCCUUAACUGGGCAUAAAGGCUAUGACCAUGGCACACUAGAUAAUUUUCCCAAAACUUAGUUUAACACCUUGAUCAUUAUUAAUUAAUUAAUAAAAUCUUUUACUAAACUGGUUUAGACUUUUGUUUAAAACAUACUUAUGAACAGUAACUCGCUAAACCUUGCUCCGAUGCCAGCUGUAACAGAACCGACCAAAUUAUAAGAGAUUAAGCCUAAUAGUGACUAUUUGCAUAGUCGAACCAUCACGCUUAAGCCCAUAUAAUCCCGGUAGUCCAUGAAAUCCCGAUGGAUUUCAAACCACACAUCGCAUGUAGCCAAGAUCGUAAUAAGUUUAGCGGCCGCCAUCCAUAAGUACAUCCAAAUUACAACAUUCAUGAAACACAUCGGAGUACUUAAGUUAUUACAAACCAAGUUCUUCAAGUAGCGGAAGUUUCAUAGUUCGAAAUUACAACACACACGAUAAAUCUGAUACAGUGCCAUAGUUUGGUCAUUCCCACAAAAGCAAAGGAAGAGACGGAGUGACCAUCGCCCUUGGUCUAAUCAUCACCCAUAGCUGGGUACAGACAGAGGAUGCAAUAACCAUAGUACAUUUGACCAUCUGCAAAACAACAUGGGAAUAGAACCCUGAGUACGAGAAGGUACUCAGCUAGACUUACCCGUCAUAAACUUAAAAUAGAGACUCAUCAAGGAUCAUGAAGGCUAUUUGGUGGGGUAGCUGACAACCAUUUUGCAAAGAUCGCAAGGUUAUAUUACCCGAACCUACAUAAAUCUUUUCUUCUUUUAACCUGCUCAAGUUGAAAGUAUCAUUAUCUAUUAUCUAGGUUUGCUCCUGUGCUAUUACAAGCAAGUAUGAGACUAUGAUAGUACCUCAUCACAGCAGUCAUAAACCCGUUUCAUUAUAACCCAAGUGUUCCAUAGUCGUUACUACGAGGACGAAGCUCAUGUCAAGUGCUCACUAUCCAGGAGCGAUGGCGAUUCGAAUCGAUUUCUAACCAGCUGGCGAGGUAUUCCCCACACAAACCACACUCACUGAUCAAGUGAGCUACAGAUCACCGUAUUACACUAUCCAGGACCAAUUCGCGGGUUCGGCAGGCACCGCCAGUACCCGAGGACCGUUCCGGCGACCGAGGUAUCCAAGGUAUACCAAGGUUGCGCGCCACGCCCUCGUCGUUCUCCUCAACCACCACCAAUACAGCGCAUGGCGGCUCGAUUCCCGGCCCGGAUAGUGUUCAGGCUUCGCGGUCGGAACGACUUAUCCUUCCAGCUAAGUGUGGGGCAUGCGUUCAACAUGACAAGAGGGCCGUCAACGAUCGGUCCUUAAUCGACACAGGCAGGGGCACUAUGGGCAACCCACCAUAAGACCCUGCCCGGUCUCCAAUUACAUUCCACACUUGGUUAUUUCUUUCCCCAAGUAACCACUGCUUAAUCAAGCAGGUAUCCACCUAUAUCUCGCAGGUGACAGGACAUCACCCGACUUCUACCGGACUAAGCAAGCUAAGCAUAGACUCCGCGCCUAUCUACAUAGGACAAGGUAGAUAAACGAGUAGGGAUAACAAGGAGUACAUAUGCAGCAAAGGUAUCAGGCAACUCCUACCACUUAAAUGCAGUAGUAGAACAAGUAUAGUGCAUCACAUAAGUUAGCGAGAAUAGGGAGACUUAGAAUGCUCCGGGGCUUGCCUUUCUCAAACGUGCUGGGUCGGUGAUCCGGACACUCCUGCAGUUCCUCUCCGGGUUCCUGUGCUUCCGGAGGUUCCUGCUCCUGAAGCUCCUCGGGUUCCUCGGUUCCCACCUCGUUCUCCUGCGAGCCUGUAUGAUGCAUAUAUGCUCAUGAGUGGAGUGCGAGAUGCCCGAGUGGAUGCUUAUAUGAGAGAGUACCAAAGGAGUCAUGUUAUGAUGCAUAGGUAAUGCACUUGGUCAUGCUUAUUACAAGGUAGUCAACAUCAUCCAAGAAUAAACAAUUGAAUCAAACAUCUAUUACAUUCUCUUCUAUAAUUAUUUUUCAAAUGCAACCAGCAACCUCCAUGAUGCUUCAAAGAUACACCAAACCCAACUUAUUCCAUUCAACCUAUAUAUACAACCAUUCAUAGUUUUCUUUAUUCAUUUCUAAGCCCAUUAAAAAUCACAUGCAAUUCUGUUCAUCAAUAAAUUCCACAAAAAUGACAGGAGACUACCAGCUAAGCAUAAAGUCUACUGUAAAUUUUUCAUGAUUUUUGGAUACUUAUUUUGAGCCACAAAAAUCACAAGAUUAAUUGAUAAGGCAAGUAAAAUCACUCUACUGGGAUACAAGUGUUAAACCACAGAUUUCAUAUUUUUACAAUUUGCAUAAUAUCAUAAGCAACAUCCACAAAUUUUUCCAGAUUUAUUGCAUGACCCAUUUAAUUACUAAAAAUCAUAAAGUACUGCCAUGCAAGCAUUUAAAUUACCAUAAAUUCAUUUAUACACUAAAUAAUAUGUACCCACUUUUUCCCAGUGAGCAAACACACAUGCAAAGCCAACAAAUCAAGUUUCACAUUUUUCUGAGCCAUAUUUCAUUUACUAUGCAUUUUCCAAGUUUAACAAAAUCAUGGAUAAAAUAUAUUCACACAGAAACGUUGCUCCAACAUGACAUGCAAUUACAUCAAACUGUAGAUCUGGAAAUAUAGAGCACACCAAAAUUUAUUUCAUUCAAUUUGGAGCUGUAGAACUCAAGAUAUAGAUUUUACAACUUUAAAUCAAUUUCUGGAAAAUACUUUUUCAAGAAAACCGACGAAAAACGCUACGCACACCCAGAUCUACACCCACCGGGGUACCCCUGCGACUGACAGUGGGUCCCCGACCCCACCAGUCAGCGAGACCGAGAGGGAGCUCACCUCCGACGAGCGGAUCUCGCCGGCGGUGAGGUCUCCGGCCACGGGGUGAGCACCAACGUGCUCCCCGCAGCAAGACGCACCCAACGGUACCCUUGGAUCGACCAGAGGGCGGCCGUUACACCUCCGGCGAGCAUGCAUGGCGGCACGGCGGCGCUGCUCGCCGUGGCCAGGCUGCUCCGGCGCGGUAGAGCGUGCGCAAACGCCUCUCCGAGCUUCCUCACCUUCCUACCGACCUAGUGCAACAGAGAACGAGCGAAAAGACGCAGGGAAACGCUAGAUCCGUCGCGGCGGAGUACUCCGGCGAGCUCGGGGUAACUCCAGCGAGCGAUUCACGGUGCUCGACGGACUCUCACCUCGGUAGAACGUUCGCACGAGCUUACCCUAGCGACGGCGAGUGCCCUGGUGCUCUCGGCGUCGAGCUUGAGGCUCUGGUGUGGCCGGCGACGAGCGGCGGAGCUCUCUCCGGCAAUGGCGCGCGGAGGAGCGGCUGCUGCUGCGCGGUGCGAGCGGAGGAGGAAGGAGAAGGAGGGCGCGGGGGACAGAACGGGCGAAAUGGUCUGGGAGCCUGCGCCGGCGUCCCGACCAGGGGGGUUGGAGGCCGGCCGCGGCGCGUCCAACGCCGGCGUACGGCCGCCACGUGGCCGGCGCCGGGUGGAGCGAGGCGCGUCCGCGCGCGGGAGGGAGAGGGAGAGGGGAGGCAGGCCGGGUCGCUUGCUGGGCCGAAAGGGAAGCGGGGUUGGCCCAGCAGCGCCUGCCCCUUUCUCUUUUUUUUUUGAAUUUCUUUUCUCCAAAUUCUUUCUAAAUUCAUUUGGACCAAUUUAAAAUCAUUUUCACCUCUUGCUCCCAAAAACAAAGUUGUUCCAAAUUAAAAACUCUACAACAUUGCUUUGACAAGCAUGACCAAAUUCCAAACAAAAUCUGAAUUACAAGUUAAAACUCAGCUCUAGGUUUUAAAUAAAUUCAUUUUGGAAAAGUUUGUAUAAAUUCCAUUUCUCAAAUUUCUAUAGCUCCAAAAAUUGCACAAAAAUGUUCUUAAUUCUUCUUACACAUAAAGCAACCUAAUUUGAAUAUUUCACAAUUUUAGAAACAAACAUCACAUUUUUAACAUAAUUAAAGCACAUAAAAUCAUAAUUUGAAAAGAGUGUCAUGCUGAUGAUGCUUACGCUUGAUGGAAAUGCUUAUGCACGACUUUGAUGAGACUAAGUGCAUGCUUAACACCUAGGGUGUUACACAUGGUGGAUGGAGAGUGUCGCUUUCAGUACCCUCGACAGUUCUGUGAGGCAACCCAACAAGGAAAGGACUCCUAUCCAACCUAUAGGAGAAGGGAUGAUGGACGUCGAGUCAGGAUUAGGAUAGCAGAGUUAGAUAACAGGUGGGUAGUGCCAUACAACCCUGGUCUACUAAUGAGGUACAACUGCCAUAUAAAUGUUGAAGCGUGCUCAAGCAUUAAAGCAGUGAAAUAUAUAUUUAAGUAUGUAUAUAAAGGUCACGAUCAAGCAUCAUUCUCAGUAAAUGCAGACCAAAAUGAUAGAGACGAUGGUGUCAUUAAUGAGAUACAACAGUACAGGAAUGCUAGGUACAUAUCUCCACCAGAAGCCGUGUACAAGAUAUUUGGUUUCCCAAUGUUUGGAGUUUAUCCGGCUGUAUUGCAACUCCAACUUCAUUUGCCCGACAUGCAGUCAGUGACAUACAAUGAUGAGGAAAACCUAGAGGAUGUUGUGAGGCGCCCAGGAUCUAAUAGGACUACACUAACAGAAUAUUUUAGUAGAAACCGUGAAGAUAGGGUAGCAAGGAAAAUAUUAUACAGAGAGUUUCCAGAACACUAUCGUUGGAUCACAGGGAGAAAAGUAUGGCAAGGAAGAAAACAAUCAUCAGGACAGAUAGGCCAGAUUGUCUAUGCUAACCCUGCUGAGGGGGAGAGAUACUUCCUAAGAGUUUUACUGAAUCAUGUGAGAGGUGCAACAUCAUAUGAGGAUUUAAGAACAGUGGCCGGUGUCACCUACUCUACUUUUAGGGAAGCAUGUGAGAAAAGAGGGCUAAUCGAGACAGACCAAUCAAUCAAUGACUGCUUGACUGAGGCCACCACAUUUCAAAUGCCAUGUGCCUUGCGAAGGUUGUUUGCUACCAUACUUGUAUUCUGUGAGGACACUGACAUACGUGGACUAUGGGCCAAGCAUAAGGAUGCUCUAGGUGAAGACUUCAGCCGGGACAACGACAACACAUUUAUAGUGGAGCAAAUGGUGCUCAGAGACAUACGUGAUAUGCUUCACUCAAUGGGGAAAGAUAUUAGAGAUUAUGGUCUGCCACCUAUUUCUGAUGAGGGUCCAAGCUCUGUUGACAUGAUGAGGGAGGUUACAGAUGAACAGAAUAUCCCUAUAGACCAAGAUCACUUAGAUAUUUUUGAUUCUCUUAAUAAGGAGCAGAGAGAAGGGUUUGAUGAAAUCAUUCAACAUGUCUUUGCCAAUAAGAGCCAGGUUUUUUUUGUGGAUGGUCCAGGAGGCACGGGGAAGACGUUUCUAUACAAGGCCCUCCUUGCUAGAGUUCGGUCUAGAGGAUUAAUUGCCAUUGCAACAGCCACAUCUGGUAUAGCCGCAUCAAUAUUGCCUGGAGGACGCACUGCACACUCCAGAUUUAAAAUACCAAUUAAAAUUGGAGACAACAGCAUGUGCAGCUUUACAAAACAAAGUGGUACUGCAGAGUUGCUUCGUAGGGCAUCUUUGAUUAUUUGGGAUGAAGUUGCCAUGACUAAGCGUCAGUGUGUAGAGACACUUGAUAGGUCCCUCCAGGAUAUCAUGGAAUGUGCUUUGCCAUUUGGAGGAAAGGUCAUUGUAUUUGGUGGAGACUUUAGACAAGUUCUACCUGUGGUGACACGUGGGACAAGAGCACAGGUAACUGAUGCUACUUUGCAAAGAUCCUAUUUAUGGGAUAAAAUAAGGAAGAUAAGAUUGUCACGGAACAUGAGAGCACAGUCAGACCCUUGGUUUUCUGAGUACCUGCUACGAAUUGGAAAUGGAACCGAGGAAACCAUUGGAGAUGAUUACGUCCGGCUCCCUGAUGACAUUGUGAUUGGUUAUACUGACACAGAGGUGGCAGUCAACCAACUUAUUCAAGAUGUUUUCCCAUCACUUGAAGAACAUGCAACAUCAGCCGCCUAUAUGAGUUCCCGUGCCAUUCUAUCGACCAAAAAUGACCAUGUUGAUCGGCUGAAUGCAAUGAUGAUUGAGAGGUUUCCAGGUGACGAAAAGGUUUACCACAGCUUUGACACUGUUGUUGAUGAUCCUCAGAAUCACUUCCCUAUUGAUUUUUUGAAUUCAAUAACUCCAAAUGGACUCCCCCCACAAGAGCUUAAGCUAAAAAUCAAUUGUCCUGUGAUUCUUCUCCGCAAUCUUGAUCCAAACAAUGGCUUGUGCAAUGGAACAAGGCUCAUGGUUAGAGCAUUGCAAGACAAUGCAAUUGAUGCUGAGAUCGUUGCUGGACAACAUGCACGGAAAAGGGUGUUCAUACCAAGGCUUCCAUUGUCUCCCUCAGAUGAUAUUUCUCUUCCUUUCAAGUUCAAGAGAAAACAAUUCCCAGUGCGCUUGAGUUUUGCCAUGAUGAUAAAUAAAUCACAGGGACAAACCAUUCCUAAUGUUGGGAUCUACCUUCCGGAACCCGUGUUCUCGCAUGGACAACUCUAUGUUGGUUUGUCAAGGGGGGUGUCAAGAGCAACAACAAGAAUUUUGGCAAAACCAAAAGAGGAUUUGGAUCCUACAGGGAAGAGCACUAAGAAUAUAGUUUACAAAGACGUCCUAAGUUGGUGACUGACGGUGUGUGUACUCAACCCAUUUUAUCAAUUCUCAUGUAAAAUUAUAUUGUUGGCAACUUCCCAAAAAAUUAUAUUGUUGGCCGUGUGCUUGAUAUUUUAAUUCUGUAGCAUCAGAAAGUCCUAUCUGUCUCUUAUAUGAUGUUUGGGUUCCAAACUUUCAGGUUCAUCUGACUGUUCUGGGAGCAUUUGUCAAUAAAUGGAAGAAAAGGCAGGUUCUUGUAGCACAUCUGACAACAGUCAGGAAGGCAGUACUGGAGCAUGGCUGAUGGCCGGCGAGGAGGUAGUGUGAACUUCAAAAGUUUGUAUCAGUCUUGGACCUAAGCCCAGGGUAGUACAAUCUGUUCUCUGAAUCAUCUUACUUUUUUUUGCAAAACUGAACCUUAAAGUGUAUUCAAUGGUACAACUUUAUCAGACGACGCCAUGUUCAUAUGCUGUUGAUUCUGCUUGUUUUAUGCCGGAAUACAUGUAAGCACCCGAGCUUCCUCCUAAUGAUGCUAAAAGAGCUUUAUGUUCUUUGGAUUUCUGAGUUUCCUUGUAAUGCAGUGCUAGCUCUUCCAAGUAAUAUUCUAGACUUAACUGAAAUAGAAAACAAGGAUGCUGAUUCUGCUUGGUUCACACCAUUGAAGGAGUUCACUAAGGAUUGAAUUCUUGGCCGACAUUGUGACAAGCCGAGCAAACGAACGUUUCAACAGCCUCCCUGAAGAUCUCCAAUACAUGAUUAAGGAGUUAGGCAAAAUGUAACUUACAUGGUUCAUAACAGAAAUAACUUUACCUUAUUAUUAUGCAGUAAAAGUUAAACUAUGAAAGGAUAUUGGUUGUUUUUAUAAACAUCUCCAAGAUUAAGCCGUAGCGUUAGCACGGGCAGUGAUGGUGCUCUUUACUCAUUCCUUGCGAGCCCCACCUCCAGAGGAACCUUCUCCAGCACCGGGGUUGCGGUUACCCCCACCACGCAUUUGCACCAUUUGCAUGCGUCAACGAUAAGAAGUCGUUAGGAGUUGCCAUCAAUCGGUAGACAUUUGUAAAAUUGUGCCACACUGAAUUUACUGAUGGGGAUAAAUUCACACAAUAAACAGAGGCACAAUAACUCAUCAUCCACACACAACCUCGCUAACUGAUUACUUAACAUUUAGCCAACAGGGUUCGCAUACAUCCAAAAUUGUCAGCAUACAUACACUGGACUUUCAGCAUCAACACAACUCAAGCACAUAAAGUCUUACACAUACAAGAUCCAACAGGUUACAAACACAUGUUAUGCAACAACAACAAAAGAAGAAGGACUAGCUCUAGAGCCCUAGCAUCUACUCGCUAUGAUCACUGUCCAUACCAAAACCUUCCUCUUCCUCGUCUCCACUAGCGGCUGCCUCUAUCUCUGGGUCCUCGUCCAUCUCAUCCUCAGAGUCUAACUCAGCUGCUCCAGGUAGGUGGUGAGGAAGGAGCUGGUUAUGCAGCUGGUGGAUCUCCUCAUGUAGGUUCUCAUUGUACUCCUCAGCAUUAGCUAGCUGCUGCUCAAGCUACAGCUGUCAGGCUCUCACGGUAUCCUCCUCGUGCCAGGCUUCAUUCCUCUGACCAAGCACAUGAACUAGAAUGCGCUCGCAGUUCCUGUGAGCUGUGGUCACCCUAUCCCUCUGCUCUCUCACUGCUAGUAGAUCCUGACUUAGCACACUGUUCUGCUGGACUGCCUGGUCCCUCUCUAGAGUCAUACGAGCCAACUCUGUCUAUAGCCUCUCAACCUUACUAUCAAACUCAUGCUGCAGUUGGCUCAUCCUGAACUGUCAGUAGAGAUCCAGACAAGUGUCCCAAACAGUGCUAUAGACCCCCAUAGGUCUUCAUCAUGGCAAACAUAGCGCUCAUAGCUAUACUGUGACUGUGCUGAUCCUCAUCCGCACUUCUCUACAGAGCAUUCACCUUGGGCUGAUCCCACACCGAAGUGUAGGGGUCACCCUGGGGAAACACCCUAGCGAAGGCAUGGGCCAGCUCCUACGGAAACCUCUCCAUGAUGUCCUUCAAAACAGCAAAAGCAGCCCUGCUGGCACCAUGGAAAGACGUGCUGCCUCGGGACUCGAAUACCUAGCCACCAUAGGUGGGGUCUGUUGACACUUGCUAACACCACUUGAAUACUAGGUUGUCAUCCCCAGCAUGGCACUAGAGUGUAUUAUGGUAUUUAUACGCACAUAGAUAAUCCGCAAGCGCACGGAUACCGUUGAAGCUUUUACCCGGUUAAAGGUUUUAUCGUAUCCAUAGGGAAACGGGAGAACUGAUCUAUGCUCUAACUUAACCAGGAUAGAUAGAUAAGUGUAAAUAGGAAAGAUGGUAGAAUUGAAUAAGAACAAUAUUAAAGAUAAGAUAACAGUGAGUGAUAAUAUGGGAAUAGAGAGUAGAGCAAUUCUAGUAUAUGGGCGAUGGUAGCAGAAUAGAGAGGAUAACGAUGGUUUCUCUACUUCAAAGGGGUAUGUCUAUGUCUGGGACGAACCACGUGAUAAGAGUACACCACAAAGGAUGCUUAUCCUUAGGCCGAUAAAUCCUACCCAUCCUGCUAACGAGAGGUGGACUACAGAGGACCAACGUAACUGUCACCUACGCGGCCAACCACACGAUCCAGCUAGACAGGGGAUAUCCACAAGUAAUCUAGGUCUAAGCACCACGCUUACACCUAUACUACAACUCUCACCUAUAGCGUCCUAUAGAUUAGAAUACUCAAAAGAGUUGUGAACCAGAACAUACAUAAUUAGUAAUUCCAUAAUGAAUUAGAAGUAGAUUACCAGAGUCAUCCCAUGAGCAAGCUUGAGUAGAGCUUGAUCAUGACGAAGUACAACCGGAGGAAGAACCGACAGGCCGGCCUCUCCUCUAAUCCUCCUUCGCUCUCCAUCCUGCUACUAUCUAGAUCUACUCUAGUUUAGAGAAGAGAGGAGAGCUCUCAUCUCUAAACCCUAGCUUUAGCUCUGUCUAUGAAUAAUGAAUAAUGAUAAAGGGGUGCCUCCUCUAGGGGCUAGGGGGUCUGGUUAUAUAGUCCCCACAAGUGAACCUGGGUCGUCGGAUCAAACCGACAUUGAUUGAACGGUUAUUCUUGAUCCUUUAGGUCGGUGGAGCAUAAUCCGCGAGGUUGAACGUGAUUGGCCACUGUAGCAGGGCGAGCGCCCUAAGGACUUGGGCGAGCGCCCAGGUCCUGGCUCGAUUCGGCCUCCGCUUCCUUCCCGUGGCUUGUAGAGUCUUCUAGAUGUAAGAUAAUUGCGCGGCAUGUUAAUAUCUCUAUGUAAUCCCGACGUGUGGGCCUUUCUUCCGUAUUUCCUGAUAACCCCCUGCAGAAAUAGACAAACACCAAAUCUCGUGGACCCUAAGUUUAGAUGUUGGUUGUAUUUGGAUCCUUUUCUUUAUUUAUUUGAUAAUUAAAUUUGAUACUUAAGGACCGUCAACAAACUCCCCCAAGCUUACCUCUUGCUCGUCCCUGAGCAAGGAUAGACUCAGCAAUGGAUCAGAAGUUGUUGCAAUAUCUUAAAAAUUUGACGGUACACAUGCUUUUAAAUAAGAUCUCAUCUCUGAGUUAGAGUAAACUGUCAAGAACUAAAACUUACUUACUUUACCUUUCACCAUGGGACUUGUAACCAUCACUUCUGUCUUGAGUAGUUAAAAGAUAGAACAGUCUAGCCAAGUGCCAUGUCUCUUAUUCUUGAUCAGCUAUAGCUCUAGAGUUUUUUGCAGAUUUUCAAAUAAAACUCAGAGAUUCCUUGUAUGACUCUCCAAAUCUCUGUUUUGUGGUAUUUCUGGAUCCUUACCAAGGCAGUGAUGGUAUAUGCCUUCUCUCAAGAUAUAUGGUAUUUGUGGUAUAAGGCAUAGUGACAUUGCCUUCUCUCUCACCCUACUCUAAUAAGGCUUUAAUAUCUGGAGCUCAUAGGUGGGAGACAGCUAAUACAUACUUACAAGACAUUUAUUGCAUAUUCAAACCAUGGAUCCAGAGAAACAAGUCAAUAAGUCAAAUCAAGAUGUGCAUGUGUGGCGAAUGAAUGGUGUAUGGUGAUGAUGGUGAUAACAAUGGUGGAAGUCUAAUUCUACUUUUGCUCUUUUGAGGGGAUACAUACCUUCCUUGCUUUUUGAAACUUUAUGAGGAGAAUGAGAUGCUCUAUCUUUCAUUUUUUUUUAUUUCCUCUCAGGUGGGUAUCCUGUACCCCUAAUUCUACUGUCGGACACUUGUUCAUUUUUACCUCUCGUCUCACUCUUUUUCUUUUCUUUCGAGGUUUCGGGCACUUGCCCCUUUUUAUUUCCUCGUAUAUUUUUUCUCUCCUCUUUUUUUUAGAGCACUCAUCUCAUGAGAUAAUAUAGCAAGUGGUAGUAACAAGAUAACUUGAGCAUUUAUUUCACAAGGGAAAAUAGAAAUAUUUUUGGCUAUUCUCUCCCGAAUUAGGAGUAGAAUAUUUUUGGGUGGUUCUUGAGAUGGACAUGGAUGGAUAUAUGUGGAUGGUACUUCCGGAGUAUAAAUAGCAUAUAUGAGUGAAUGUGCAAGUGAAAUCUUGAUUUAACCACAUGACAAGCCCCUAAGGGUCUACACAGCUUGACCACACUCAAUGCUCAUAAGCAGUAAAUAGUAAAUGUGUGGCUCAAAGUCUAGCAAGCAUGUAUAUAUGGCUGUGGUAGGAAUUUAAACUUUCAUCAUAUAGGAACUCAUCAUGCAAUAUUUUAAAGAUUUUUCAAAGAUAAAAUUGUCCAGAAUUCUAGCAUCUCUAGAAAGAGAUAAACAGCAGCUCAACCUUCCCAUAUCAUAUCCGUUAACAACUUAGAUUUCAGAUCAAGUUUUUAUCCCACAAGUUUAGAUCUAGAGCAAGCUUUAAAUUAUAACAGUUAUGUCUAAACUUGAGAGAGAACUUCAAAUUUGCAAAUUAGGCAGAGCAACUAUUCAUCAUAUCCAUGCUAGAGUUUUAUUAUUAAGAUUCAGAUUAGCAUAGCCACUUUAUUUAUUUAUUAAACACAUUAAGCAAAAGAUAUAUAUAAGCACAAAAGCUUUAUUUAGUUUUUCAUUGUUUAUGUAUUUUAAUAUUCUAAUAUAAUAUAAGUAUAAAGAUAGGUAGAAAUACUUAGCGAGAUAAAUGGGGGUGCUCUCCCCCAAGCUAAAUUUUGAUGUAAUUUCUCUUGAUGUAGCUAGCAGGUGGCAGAGGUGUAUUUGAAAGUCAGCAGUAUUCUGACAGCGAUUAGAAUGUCCUCCGUCUGCUACUCUUCUUGAUUCAUAAAUUCUGUGGAGCUCAAAUGGACAACAAAGCUUGUGGAACUAAUUAAGUGUUAGCAUAAAUAUCUAGCCUUCAUCGUGUUGAGCUUCCUCAACAAAUAUUACUCCCUGUUUUUAUAUUUUUAUUUUAUAAAGUAGAAAAGAAAUAUUUAUUUUAUUUUUAUGCCACCACAGUGAAGGUACUUAUGGGUUUUAUGCCACUCGUAUACUCACAUGGAGCUUAGUAUUUUUUAACAUUUUUAUUUUCUUUUCAAGAUAGCAUGAUUAACUAAUAAUCUAUUUAAGAAAAGUAAAUAAUUAAAGGGAAAAGGGAAUGCAGAAAGGAUAAAUAUGGAUAACUACUGAUCUUACCUUCCAGCGAGAGUUCAAUGUUUUAAGUCUUCUUAACAAGAUUCUCACCGUGUUCAUUCUUCAGGUGCGUCAUUUGAUUCAGGUGCGGACCUUAACGUCUGCACCUCUUGAUACGGUGUCACCCAUGUUCUUCGUUUGCCCAGCAGUUCGAAGUGCGGCAUUGGCAGUAACCUGCUCGGUGUGUUUGAGCUCGUAGAUCCAGGUCCUUCAUUUGGUAGAGUCUGAGAGUUAUAAAACUCCUCCGUGUUUUGCUCAAAGUGUACCUGCUCAUAGAGACAAGGCAGAGAUCAAGUGCAUGGGUCCUGUUGGUGGAAAACACCAACAGAACCUAAAGUGUAUUUGUUCUUCUCUAACCCUAAGCAUAGU
Molecule: long non-coding RNA, 87257 nt
Filed under: Sorghum bicolor (sorghum)
Lineage: Eukaryota; Viridiplantae; Streptophyta; Magnoliopsida; Poales; Poaceae
Description: long non-coding RNA (SBIC_LNC008307)
Rfam family: Plant small nucleolar RNA R71 (bases 13811-13916)
Source: RNAcentral